UGCACGCUGCUGCUACGCAUACACUAAUUCACAGCGCCUCGGGCUGCGCACAGCAGAUACUUCGCUCCCGUCCCCCCCCCCCCGCGUGCCCCUAUUUCAGCCCCUCCGCGCCGGGCCCCGCGGGAAACUUUUCCUCUCGCGGCACACCCAGCCGGCCCCGGCGGUGGGGCAGCGGCGCGGGGCGCGCACGGCCCCUUUAAAUUCCAGCUGUGCGGCGGGGGGCAGCACCGCUGGCGGCGCGGCGCGGCGCGGGCUGGGGCCGGGGCCGGCUGCCGGUGCGCGGCGGCGGGGAGCGCGCAACCUGCGCCCGGGGGAGGUAGCGGCUCCGGCGCCGCGGUCCCUCGCGGAGGCGGAGAGGAUGAGGGUGGCUUCUGGCUGCUUUUUUUGCCUCCUCGAGAUGAUUUCCAUAGUAACCUGAUCGAGCGGUGCAAUUUCGGAAACUGGGGUGGCUUUAUUAUUAUUAUUAUUAUUAUUUUUAUUUUUUUUCCAUUUUUUUCUCCGCUUCUUCCCUCCCACCUCGUCGGCCCCCGAGGAGUGACAGGCGGCAGGUUCACAGUCAGAAUGUGACCUUACAUAAAAUGGAAACCUGUGAAGAAAGUCACAGAUAGCAGCUGUGGGUAGUACUGGAAGAAUAUUUAUCUUCUUAAGCAUCAGCUUUUUAAAACGCUAUGGUGAUUUGGAAAGUCCCAAGAGUGAACUGUGAAGUUUUCUUCAGCUCGUUCAAUGGAUUUCUUAGGCAUUUCUACAAAUCAUUGAUGUCUAGAGAUGAUGUGUGAUGGAAAAAGCACCCUGCCUGUGCGUUUAUAGCCCCUGUUUUUUGGAUUAGUUUGCUGCAUUGCUGAACCAAUUUUGUUUUGAGGGCAAGGAGUGAAUGUGAUGGAUUUAUCUUCAGAGAUGAACAAACAUGGAAGGAAUCCAGUAAGUCACAAACUAGAAGAUCAAAAAAAGGUAAGGUUAUUUUAACGUGUACUUAAUUCUAUUUUAAUGGAUUGCAAACUCUUUUAAUAUUAAAACUGAAAAUCAGCGUGCUUCCAUGGAAAAGGUAAUUUGCCAUCAUUCAACCAGCAGUGAACUGCUGUGAGGGACUGAGUUUCUUCAUUGUCUAGUAAUUUUGUUUCUAAUACUGCCUGAUUGCCUGCUAAUUUGUGUUAACAGCUCCCUGAAUUUGACUGGAAAAUUGUUUGGCGAAAGUGUUACUUCGUUGCUGUCUAUCAGUGUUUCCUUCAUGUCAUAGACCUGCUGAAGCGGGCUGAGGUCUGAGAGGUCUUUGUACUUAACACGUAUGGGUAGACUCUUCUAGUUGCAUCCUACCAAUAGUUCCAUAUAAUUGGGUUUUGUGAUAAUUGUUGCUGUUCAAGUUUCAUCCUUUGGUAACCAAGGCAAUUAACACAUAUAAAUUCACAUUUCCUCACUAUGGGAAAUUCUUUCGUACAUCCCACUUCUAUAACAAACUGUUCCAAAAGAUUCACCUUCCUGGCUCAUCUGUUUUACUCAGACUAUGGUCUGGAGGUUUUUUUUCUACUGAUUAUUUCAUACACUUCAAUUUGAUGCUUUUUAACAUCUUCAGGUUUUACUUCUGCUUUCGCAUGCACCCAAUGGCAACCAGCAGAGGGUUCAUUCUGGUGUAGCAUUUUGUGGCUGUUGCCCACUUAAUAGUGGGCCUUAAAAUGAGUGUCCUCUUUGAAUUAUUGCAUAGGUUCAGGGAGUCUGUUAACAUCCAAAUCAUAAAUUAAAAUACAGAUUGCGUACUCUAUUAUUACACAUUAUUAGAAUAUGUGUUGCUGUUUUUUGGUUGUUUGUUCUUUAGUUUUUGGUAUGGAGCCACUGAGUACUGUUUCAAGUUCUUUCAGUCUUGUUUGGGAAAAAAUAGAAAUGAGGGGAACUUAUGAGCACAUAAUGAAACUUUUUAAGUCCCAGAAAAGCUAAUAUUUGGAUUUUGUACCUCUGAAAUUAGUAUGUAUUAAUCUAAGUUAUUCAGUCACAGCUGAUUUUGAAGGCACAUACGUUUUGAAGUGCACAGAAUUGCUGGAAAUGCACCAUGAUAAUACGUGUGAUGAAAUUACUGAGAAGAUAUAUGCAGACAUGAGCAGGAUCUUUGUAAUGGAAAAGAUACAGAAGACACAGAAGAUAGCUGGCUUAGAGCACGGGACUUUCUCCAAGUCCUCAUUCCCACCCUUUUGUUGCAUAAAAGAAAAGCUGAGAAAUGUUAGGGUUAAUCUCAACGUCUGUUGAACUGUUUUCUGAACCGUUAUUAUCUGAUAUGGAAUUCAGUAUGCUCUAAGGUUUUCUUUUUCCCUCCUUUCUUUUCCUUCUCAAAGGGGAUUUUGCGGAUUCACUUAUAGAGACUGACUCUUCCGAUUGCCUAGGAGUAGAAAGAUUGUUUCAAAGAGGUUCUGUGGCACCUUGGGGUCAAAUUUGUCUUUGAUUGAGCUGGAGGGUAUUUUGUCCAGCCAUAGAACUAUGACAUGAUCGCUAAAGACUCCGCAACGGUUAGCAAUCUUUGGUCCUGUGGCAUGGUUGAUGCUGAAGAAAACAAACAGAAGUCUGGUUAGUUUUCAUUAUGUACAGGAAACCUAGCUAGAAAUUUCAUCCCUUUGCUAUGCUAGCACCUGCUUUUUUUUUUCUUUUUUUUUUUUUUUUUAAAUGGGACAUGAACUUUUAUUAAAAUAAGACUAUGCAAGUGGUGGUAGUAAUUCAACAAUUUCUUUACAUUGAAUUAGAUGUAAAGAGUAUUUAGAAACACAUUGGGCAGAAAUAAGUGAAAUAAAAAUGGAUCGUUUUGGAAAAUACUGGCUAUCUUACUGUCAGAAAUAGAGGCCAUAUUGGUGCUGUACCUGGGUCGGGCAGAAGUCAAGCUGAAUCUCUUCAGAGAGCUUGCGUUCUCAUAAAGAGAAGAAAAAUACUGUUUCCUGGGAAGAUUCAGCUGCUCUAUUGCUGCAGUAUGUAUUGCCACUGGACUGCUUUUGCACGGGGAAUUUGGAAAAGAAAAACAAAAUGCAGAAAAAUACUUUUUUCCGUGCUAAUUAAACAUAUAAAACUAAUAAGGUGGUUUUAAAAAUGCAGAGUAGACUUUGGCAUUUAACUAUUCUAAUAAUUUCAAAGGAUAGUGUGAACCAUAUAGUUGCUUUCCCUAAGUCUGGGUUUGGGCCUAGAGGGCUACGUUUAUACUAUUUUCAUUUUGCUAAUGUAUGAAUUGUAAUGCUUAUAGGAUGCUCAGAUAUGCUCCUCAUCUCAAAACACAUGAAAUGCUAUCAUUUGCAUUUUAAAUAGGUGCAUACUAAUUUUAUGAUUGCAGAACUGUCAAGCUCCGCAGUCUUUUUGUGAUUCCAGGACAUGAUGAUGUUUUACUGAUUUCUGUCAAUAUGCUGCUUGCUUUUGUAGGUCUGGCAGGCAUACCCAGCUGGACUCCUACUCAGUUUUUUGACCUCAUAAUGUACAAAACAAAAGGAGAGACUGUAUUGUCUGCAUGGAGGCAGUAGUCCAGUUUCUGUGUCUGAAGUGUUGGGGAAAGGGAAACAGGCUAACAGAAGGCAGUUCAUAGACAAAAGAGAUCUCAGGAAUAUCACUGUAAUCAGUUAAUUUGACUUCCGAUGGAACACAGACAUGGGAUUUCCAUUUGCAGAUUUUUUAGCUGGGAGUGAAGAUUCAGGAAAUGAGCUGGAAUGGACAGAUUUGGGAUGUCCAUCACCUCUGCUUGAGGUCCAUGUGGCAACGGAUCUCUGUCCAAAAUGUGGCUAUCUUACCCGUGCACCAUGCUGAAAGUGCCAGACAUGCAGCUUCAUCUGUAUGGACAGUCGAGUUUAAAUGCUGUGCUUCUGCAUCUGUUUCCCAUGCAUGUAGUGCAGUGUGAUUUCCUAUUUUAAAAGCGUGGAAAUAUUCAGUGCUUUGGGACACGAAUGCUGCUAAGUAGCAAAUACAUUUAUUACCAUUUACUGCAGCGUACACAUUCAUGAUUUCAGUGCACAGUAAAUGGCAUAGAGAGUUAUGAACUACUGGUUUGAAUAACAGGUUUCAAUGAGAAACUUGCUGUAAAUAACCAUUUGAAAACCUGGAAAAGACUGAUUAAUCUGCAUUUCAUCAUCUAAUGGGAUUAUUCUGUUUUCAAACUCCAUGGAAAAAUCUGUUGUCUGUUGUCACAUGCAUAGUUUAUGCUAGCCAAACCUAUAAGACACAUAGCCACAUUUGUCUGGCUACUCCUUUAAUUUUAAUGUUUUUCCUCCCAAAAGGAAGUCCCAUUGUGGGCAUUUCUUUGACAGACCAUCCGAGCUCCUCUGUAUCUUGGAAGAGCACCUGCUGGCUGCAGGCAGGCAAAGCCAAGCCUUUGAAUGAUUCUGCAGCUGUGGCCUUGUUGAAGUCUGGAGCCCGAGAGCGCUUCACCUCGAGUGUAUGGGUACACGUGAGGCAACACACAGGCAAAUAACAUGGAUUAGAAUACCCUCGAGUAUCAUUUAUCUACUUGACCUUGUGUAAACUUGUAAAAUUGGUUCAGAACUACGGUAACGCACAAAAUGCUUCCCACUAACAAUAGUACUCCAUCUCUCAAAGAUUGGGCACAUCUGCUUUGUGGGCUAACAAAUUUACUGCUUUCUGUUGUUCUCCACUGUGUAGGCUGUUUGAGAGGAGGACAAACCUGCUGGGUCUCUGUCCUAACUCAUACCACAUGAUGUGUGUCUAGAUUUGAAAUCCACCACACAGGAUACAGUGAAGAAAGGAAGUUUAGUGCUUCAUCAUUACCACCCGAAUAUAUCUUCUAAUGUUAAAUAUGAGAAAACGUAGGGAUCUCAGUUAGUUUCAGAACAAAACACACUACUUCUGUCAGUCUUUCUGGACGCUGCUGAGCCACUGAGCUCAGAGGGUUUUUUAAUAGGCACCGUGACUGUAUUAUUGGGUAGUAAUUAAACAUAAUUAAAAAGCAGGAAUACCAAACAGUCCUUGACUACCGUUGGAUGUUUUGGAUUGAAUGUGUGCACAGCUCAGCUUAUCUCCCUUUGCAAAUUAACUAAACGUCCAAUAAUCAGUUAGCUUUUUGCUAAUAAGAUAAAAUAGGAGUCCAGCAUCAAAAUCAUCAGGCUGUCUUGAUAUGGAAUCUUUUAAAAAUCAAAUCAAGAGAGAAGGUUUUAAAAGGACAGCAGUCCAGCAAAAUGGGAGGAAUCAGGACUAUUCCUCCAUUCCCUGCCUACUUCAUUGUAUUCAAUAUUGAGCACAUGAAAUAUUUCAGGAAAAUCAGAUGCUAUCAUGAGACAUUUAGGCCAGGAGCACUGUUUGUUCUUGCAAACAUGCUCAUAUUGCUUUGUCUGUACUCCCCAAUUGCAUGUCUCCAUUCUUAAUUUAUUACUGAUGUUGUAGUCAGCCAACAAUCUUUUUUAACAGUAGUGGCAUUACAUAUUGGGUAGGCCACACUUGUUGCUAUUGUGACAAGCUAGGAUCUGGAUGGUGUUGCUUCUCUCCCUGAAAAGUUGACUUUUCCCAUCCUGAUUUUACUUCUGUCUCCAAGGUAGCUCUAACUGAGCUUUCCUUCCCCCCCUCACCAGUCCCUCUUACAUAUAUACAUAUAUUGAUAUGUGUAUGCUUUUUGCUUUGUUUUGUCCACCUGCUCAUCCGUGUCUCUGUCAAGAAAUGCUCUGCAAACAGCUGGAGGUCUGAAGAUCUAUCGAAGAGUCAGAGAAUCAUUAAGCUCAAUGUUCACUGUUAUCCCUUACCUCACAACAGCUGGCAGGUUUUUUUUCAGGUUAUAUAUUCAGGGUUUUCACCAAAAAUAGCAGAUUGAGUGGAUGGGGAGAAGUUUUCACAGCUGGGGGGAGAAAAUUGUUCUCUUCUUGGUUUAUUGUUGUUUCUUCUUUAAUACUUCCGAAUUCAGCAGAAAUAGGAAGAACGCAUCAAACAGAUAAGGAGAAAUUAGCUGUGGGAAUAACUGCAGUCGCUCUCCAAAUUCUUUCCUAAAGCUGUCUGUCACAUAUUACAUUCCUCUUUCCCUUAAACUGCCUCCCCCCAUACACCAGGAGUGUUCUGUUUCAAAAUUUAUGCUAGAAAGACUUGAAUGACUUCUCUCACUGUCAAACCUCCCCAGGGCCCCACCACCUGACUCCUCUCUCUCUCUAUCUCACUCUCUGAAAUUGUUCAGUGCACUCUGCUAGUGCAGCUGUUCUAAUUUGCAAUCUUUAUAGGCUCAAUAAAUGGUAUUAAAUAUCAUUUUGUGGAAUAUGAAACUGAUAUUUAAUAAUUCUUAAAGUGAAUCCUUGCCCUCUGAAUGCUUACAAUCUUUGUUUCUCUUAUUAGAGAACCAUGAUGCAAAUAUGAGAGUACCCACUUCUUUAUUAUGCUUUUUUUCCCCCCUCUUCUUUGUCUUUCCUAACUAAUUAUCUGCAAAGAAAUGUCAAUUACAGAGCAGUAUUUUGACCCAGUGCUGCACCAAAAUAGCUGAAAUGCUAAAUACUGGUUAAUUCAUUGCUUUCAUAAAACAACACUGGCUGCGUUUUUUAUUUCAGCAGUAUGUCUUGGUUUCUUAGCUGCUUCCUUUCUACUCAAUGUCAUCUUGCCUGCUAACUGAAUAAAACUCAUUCAGGAAUACCAGGUAGAAGCUGUACCAGGACAUCAUCACCGCAUGGCUGGAAGAACCUCAGCUGCUUUGCAGUUGUUUGUUCUGGCAGAUUUUUGCGUAAUCAGAUAGCUGAAACGAAUACUAUUUUGCAUGUACGCUACAGCAUAAUUUGUGAUACGCACUACAGAGUGAGUGUAGAAGAAGUGAAGAGUAAGAAGAAGUGGAGUGAGAAGAAGGUGGCUUUUUGUUUGGGUUGGUUAUAUAUAAUUUUUUUUUUUCCCCCAGAAGUGAUACAAUUACUUGCUGUCCUGUAGGCCUUCUGCUACUACUAAAGGCAAGCUUUCAUAUUUCUACCAGUUACAUUAGUGUGUAUUAGUAGUCAGUAUGUAUACAAAGGUAAUAUUAAACAUUUUUUUCUCAAGCUGUUUUACCCAUUCUAGAAUAAAGUACAAUGGCUGGAAGCAAAACGCAGUGUAAUUUCUGGAGGCGGUAUUUCAUGACUGCAUCACUUUGUAGGACGCUUUGAUGGUAACAAAUUAUCUACAAAACUUUCAUUUGCCAACUUUGAAAAAGAAAAAAAAAAAAAAGUAAAACAAACGCCAGUAAGCUGGUAAACAGAAUCACAUGGCUUUCUUUUCCACUCUUUAAGAAGUAUUACUGAAUAAUAUUAACCCUCCAUUACCAGCGAUGUUUGUCUUGAAAUUGUCAUAUGGGAAACUGUUGCCCUUUGAGGAUGACAUGCUACAAUUAGGAGAGGAUUUUGCUGCUGAAAUAGUUUGCAACACUGUCCUGUGUUAGCCUUUGCUGUCUGAUCAUUAUGGGGGUGGUCUUAUAAUGAGUUAAUGAGUGCGUUAGGGAGCCAACUAUUAAAUCUUGUGGAUGAUCCUGUAUCAAAGUGGUCAUUCGGAGUGAAAGCCUACUUUCUUGGCUCCCUUCUCAUGAAUGUUGAACUUGUCAUGGGAUUGUUUUCUAUUCUAAACAGACUUUACAAAAAAAGACUAAAAAAACCUGAUAGCCAACAUUCAUAGAAUCAUAGAAUCAUAGAAUCACUAAGGUUGGAAAAGACCCACAGGAUCAUCCAGUCCAACCAUCCGCCCUUCAUCAAUGGUUCUCGCUAAACCAUGUGCCUUAACACAACAUCCAAACGCUCUUUAAACACCACCAGGCUCGGUGACUCCACCACCUCUCUGGGCAGCCCAUUCCAGUGCCUGACCACCCUUUCAGAGAAGUGGUAUUUCCUAACGUCCAGCCUGAAUCUUCCCUGACACAGCUUGAAGCCAUUCCCUCUCAUCCUAUCACUAGUCACCCGGGAGAAGAGGCUUACCCCCAGCUCACCACAACCUCCCUUCAGGUAGUUAUAGAGAGGAAUAAGGUCUCCCCUGAGCCUCCUCUUCUCUAGACUGAACAACCCCAGCUCCUUCAGCUGCUCUUCAUAAGGUCUGUGCUCCAGACCCCUCACAAAAUAUCACAAAAUAUUGGAACAACAAGUAGAAAUAAAGUCAACCUUCUUCUUACCCUAAUGCCAGAGUUGUGUGAAUUUCUGAAGGAAAAAAAGAAAAACUCAAUAGCAUAGUUUUGAUCUGAAUGUAACUUCACUUUUUUUUCAGUUUUCCCCCCACCCCCACCCUUUUUUUUUUUUAACUUUAAUUGUUGCUCUACUUCUGUAUUGAUAAAAGGUUCGUUUGUGUUUAUGGACUGGUAGAAUCGUACAGAAAAAUGGUGGUUGUCAGCACGUUUGUUUGGCUAUUUUAUCGACAUCGUUCUGUACUGUUACCUUGAGAUUUUAAUUGAAUCCCAAACUCAGGUCAAGGAUUCUGCUUUUUCUGCAUUCUUACAGCAGAAACGAAGCAUUGUGGGUGCUGUGGAAUCUCUGUCUCAUGGAUGGCAGUCUCACUUAUUUUCUGUUUUAAUUCCCCUGGAGCUGUAGUUAUUGACACUGUAAAGAGAAGUGUCUUCUGCUGCUGUAUACGAAGAAAUAAACCAGUGGGGGAGUGUACAGCAAUGUACCUUUGCGGGAGGGAUAUAAAGACCUUUUUUUAAGAGCGAUGUAUAUGUGCUAAAGCAAGAAGUCUCUUGGGAGACCGUUGUGGGCCUGCUUGUAAAGCAGAGUUGUAAUAGCCUUUUAAACUCAUUCUAGAUAGGUCUGGCCUUAUGCAUCCAUAUCUGGGAUUGUGGUCUUAAGCUUCUGUACAGAAACAUCUGAUGGAAUCAUGGAGUGAUUACCAGCAAAACUGGAUCUUGUUUUCCUGGAUACAGUAUGUGAAUUCACCCUAUGAGUGGAGAGACUGAGAAAGAAUUGACAAAGUUAGGUGUAAAUACAGAAAAGAUGCACAGAUGUUUGAAGCCUAGUUUCUACAAGUGACUUUUCUAAUGCUUUUGAAUGCUUACUGCAAGAAAUGCAUGUGGAAGGAAGCAACGUGCAGAUUUAGGGUAAAGACAUACUGUCGAGGCUCUCUGAGUCACAAUAUUGUCGCCGUAUAAGACUCUACUUUGUUAUACCCAGAACUUAAGCAUGAGAGUGCAUACCUGCUGCAUCACAAUAACAGGGUACUUCUGGGAAGUGCUUUGUUUUUGUUUGUCAGUGCUCAGGUAGUGGUAGUAGCUGUUCUCCUGUGAUGGAGUACAAAUGAAUGCAAAAGCAGGAAAGAACGUCACACAUGGGUAGGAUUUUCUUUUCAGUGUAAAAUUUCUCCUUUUUCCCUGCUGUUUGUUCACAGCAAGCACAAGUACAUCCACGAGUAUCCUUGAGUAUAAUUGCAUGUAUACACACAAACUAAGAUUGCGAGAAGAAAAAGCUGAUAGAGCCAUGGAGUUUAAUACCAGUGUAUUUCAUCUACUUGGCAGCUCUGGUUUGAGGGAAGGGGAACAAAACAAAGCCACCUCUCCAGCACGCAGGCAAACUUUUAGGAUACAGCCAUGUUAGUAAACUGAAUCUCAGAACGUUACCUAUUUUUGGUGGUACGUUUAGAUGCAGUAAAUCUUUGUUUCAGUAAGCAAUGCUGCGUGGAAAAUCCAUACAUUUUUUUCAAUUAUAAAAUUUCUCAACAUCUUCUAGAAUAGUCAGCAUCAGGCACAGCUAUUUCCUUUAACAGCACUUUCACCUGAGUGCCUGAACCCAGGCAGCAGGACAGUCCUUGGCAUCCAGGGCUUUACCUGAAGGUACAUCACAGAGCAGCUGCUCUUCCAGUUCAACAUUUAUCGUUCUUGAAGGAAAAACAAACCUGUGGUUGAAAUGCGAGUCAGCAGGCUGUCUUUAAAGGUUGGGCUCUUGAUAUUUAUUUAUUUAUUUAUUGUCUGCUCCUUCUUUCCUUCUGUUGUUGCCGCUGCUAUUGUUUUCUCCUUCCUGUCAGGUGUAUUCUCCUUACCUGUCAUCUUCCUGCUAUCCCUGCCACAUGGCUUUUGUCCUCUAUCUGUUUGUUUUUGUUUUCCUUCUCCCUUGCUCAAGUUAACUGAGUUUAUCCUCUUUCCACUAUGCAUCCCCACACAUAGAGAUGUGUAUGAAAGUACACAUGUACUCAAUUACAUGAGUAUUUUGAGCAGAUGCUUGCAUAUAAAGAUGUGAUAUGGACAGUCAUAUGUAGGACAAUUUCCAGCAUAACUGUACAUUAAAAUGUUUUGUUCCUGUUAUAUUCCAUCUGUUUCUUGAUUUUUCUGGGAAAUAAUACCCUUAGUUCAGAGUCUUUGCAAUCCUGUGUGUGCAGUUGAAGGUGAGCAGUACUUAGGGCAGGAGACAUCUAUUUUUAACUGGGAUAAGUUGUUCUUAGUUCUCAAUAAAAAGACAACCUUACGAUACUGACCAUUCCUCCUUUACCUUACUGAUAGGGAACUGUGUUAGCAAAUCUCUUUCUCUGAAUACAUAAAGUGAUGGCAAUAAGCUGCAUGGUAAGUCUAUGUAGGGAGUGUAAUUAGUUUUCAUUGUGGUUGGACUAAUUUUACCAAUAAAACAGGACUAGAGGGAAGCUGCCAAUAACUUAUUUUUUUAAUUGUCGGGUGUAAACACUGUGUCCAUGAUUUGUCAUUUAUAAGGGCUAAUUUCCAGAUGUUCUUUUUGGCUCAGAUGCAGAGGCCAGAUGACUUUGUGUUUGUUGUUGGCAUCAUAAAUGAGAAACAAAGGAGAGUACAGUACAGAAAUGUGCAGUGAUUCAGUGUAGUAACCUCUAGAACUCUGAGAUGCCAUGAAGCACUAAUACACGUGGUACCAGCGGUGGGCAUCGCUUUAAAACAGAUUCUACCUAUGGCUGCUACAAACUGUGCUCUGAUAUCAUGAAGGUAUUUCCUACUUUCCUGAUGCAUGCUGAUGGUGAUGGGGGUACAUAUUGACUUCUCGAUGGUGAUAUCUUUUUCUUUUUAAAUAUGCUGAAUUAAGCAUAAAUUACCAUACACAGCUGUCAUUUUUAUCUCUGAGGUAGCAGAUUAAUAUUGAAGCCAAGUUACUGUAAGUUUGUUUGUCAGAAUCUGCUGUUUUUGGAGCAGAAAAACUGUUGCUGCUUUGUGAAAAACCAUCUCUAGAAAUGGCUUAUUAAUAAUAUAUAUAUGUCUAUUGCUAUAUUACUGUUGCUGCUGUAUCACUUUAGGAAGGAUGAUGUGAGUAAAGCUGGAGGCAGAAAGGCUAAAGAUCUGCUUCUCUUUCAGCUUUGUCAAUAUUCUUCUUGCCCUCAGGGAAGUUGCUUAAACUCAGUUUUACCCAUCUGUAAAAUUAAAAGAUCUGAAUCAUUGACCAUUGAUUUUUCUCAGAGCAUUAAGAUCCUCAUAUCGAAGGCCUUGCUAGUAUUUAAAAUAAAUGCACUGCAGUUACAGCUAUUUAUCUGCAUUGUGGCAGAGGAGAGGAUUCUCAGUCAUGAAUCAGGACAGAGCUGUGCUGGUGCUGUAUGAACCCAGAACAAAAAGACUCUGUCUGGCUUGAAGACCUUACAGUAUUGUGGUUGUUCCCCUUGAUUACCCUCUUGAAUUUAGUACCCAGUAGUGGAAUACACCUUUUUUUUCCAGAUAGAAUGUCUAUAUGAAAUCACACAUCACUGAAGAAGGAAGUUGUACUAUGUGUGGGUGAGAAGGGAGAGGUUUGUAUACGUAAAGGAAAGGCUCUGCAGGCUUUGCCUUAUUGUCAUCCUUUCCAAAAAUUCACAGUACCCUGACUGUUAAUGCAUUACAUCCAUAUUUUCAUCCAAUUUUCUGAUUUCUCUUCACUGCAGUCAUAUGAACACCACUUCAGAAUUUCAACAGUCUCUUCAGCUGUGCAUUAAGUGGGGGUUUAUGUUCUAAAUUCAUUGGACUUAGUAACUAAACUAGAACUCACUUUGCUGUCAUUGUCGACUGCCAUAUGACUAAUUCUUACAGCGCCAGUUACUUGUUCUAUUUAUUUCCGAAUGACCACUUAAACAAAUCAUAUGAGAGGAAGAGAUUUAAAUGAAUCAGCGAAGGAGGUGGAAGAAAGAGAUAAUAGAAUAAAAUUACAGAAUUUUCCAAAAUGUUUUCCUUUGUGGCUCUAGACAGCUGGGACUUUGUUCUUCUUUGAAAGCAGAUGGAGCCGAUAACAAUGUGCUCUGGAGUUCUGCUCUAAAAGAUCUUUUCUGGCUCAAAAUCCAACGAAGCUCCCUUAAAAAAUGUGCCAGCAAUGCGAGCUCAUUUGUGGAAUUGCAUUACCUACAAAAAAGAAUUAAAUACUGCGUCAAAACAACACUCCUGAGUCAAAGCUGUCUGUUAAGGAGUUAACACUGCAUCUAGGUUUAAUUGAUAUCCAUUGGAGAAAAAGACUGUGCUAUUCUGUGCUACUCCAUGCUCAGCAGUAAUAAGCUAAAAUGGAAUGUAAACAUUACAAACAAAGAUGAUCCCAAGAGCAAAAUUGCUGAGUGGAUCUGCAAUUCAAAAGUGUCAAAGAGUGAUUAUGGAGAUCUCCGAGUUGAUUUUAGCCCAUCAUAAGCAGAAAUAGAGACUGCCUUCUCCUUUGCUCUCAUCUCCUUCUCUGUGUUUUAUUUGCUUCUUUGUUGGUAUUGCUAUAAACAAACUAUUAAGCAUAAAACCCGUGGCAAAAUACCCUUAACUUUAACCUUUUAAUGUUAGCCUUUUCCUUGCCAUGUAUUUAUUUGUUUAGAUGGACAAGGUGAUUAAGACGAAGUCAUCUCCACCGUAUGUCUAAUAAUUGAAAAUUUGAUCUGUCAAAAAUCUGGUGUUAUCUCGAUAUGUCAGUACAUGGUACAGCUAUAGAAAGGAAGGCGGAGUUGCCAUUUGUUAGCAGAACAGCUGGCAUUACAGACUGGAAGUUGUAUUCUCCAGGAAUUCAUUUUUUUACCAAGGUAGGUUCAAUCACAGAUUUAAACCAUUAAAUUUACAGCUCAGGCUGUGCUGAUUGCUUGGCUAACAGCAGGAUUUCAGGGGAGAUAAAAGGAAAACUGUGCAACAUACGUUUGGUGUGGGGGGAGGGUUUUUUAUUAUAAUUUUUAUUUUCUUCCCCUGGUUUUCAGACUGACAAUUGCUCUGACAGCUGCCCAGGGAAAUCAGAGACUCUCCCGUAUGGGUAUCAGUAGGCUGUAUAUUUCUUCAGUUUGUCUCAUUUAUUUGUUCUCUUCCGUAGCAGGACUUUUCUUUUGAAAGCAACAACUGAAACCUCAUUAAGGGGGGAAAAAUGAAUCCAUCACUGUUAUUUAAUGUUUGCAAAAAUACUUGUUUACUCCAGUCAUGAGAUACUGAUUAAGAAGAUGUAAUUGGAGUGUGUUAAACUCCAUUUUUUUUCCCUUCUUUCUUUAAUACAGCGUAUGUUCAGGAAUUCUAUGGAGACAGCAUUUCUAGAAGUGCAUGAAGGGAUGGGAGAUGUGCAUGGUAAAAGCCUUUUUAGACUUGAGUCUUUAUUUCUCUUUGUAUUUUUAGUAAUGUUUAUUGUUUCUAGCUUUUAAUACCAUAUGUGGUGAUUGAAUUCACAGGGAAACUUUCGUUUCUUUGCAAGGUAUUAUGUGAUUGUCUUAGUACUGUAUCUACAAGCACACAACCUAGUAAGGGUUCCAGGCAUGUGCUAUGAAUGUUUGCUCCAAAAUAUUUGUCCUUAUAAAUUAUUCUCUGAACCAGUUCUCAAAAAUAAAAUCAGUAGCUGUGUAUGGGCUUUUUAAAGAGAUGUAGUAUUGGUGGCAGUCUCACAGUUAUGGUUGUGUUUAGGUUUACACUAUAACACUUCAUGGUAGUAACUCUAAAGUUUCCUAGACCUCUUAGAUAACAGUGGGAAUCUUUCCAGUAAAUUUGGCAGACUUUCUGCAAGGCCUUUCAGUUUUUGAGUGUGGCUCCAUUUUAUGAUGUAAAAUCUUUUUGAAACAUAUUAAAGAAAAAGGCCCUUAAAAGAGAUCUUUCUUGGGAAAGAAAUAAUACAUGAUUACUCACCAUAGGGGAGAAUUGCAAUCGUCAGCUGCCAACAUACGUAGAUUUUUGUGCAUGCAUACAGACUAUGGCCAACCUAGAGUCAGUUUGCCAAGCAAAUCCGUGUUCGUUUUCUAAAGCUGCCGAAGGCACAUCUGAGUCCGCAAUGCUUUGUGUCACCUGUAGGAGAGCAGCAGUGAACUUAAGUGGAAAAAAGUUCUAGUAAUGAAUUAAACAAAACCCAACUAUCCAAAAGCUGCUAAGAGAGUUCCUUUAUAGCUUUGUUAUUAAGACAACAACAAUAUAGGCUGCUUUGAAAAUAAGAUUAAAGCUUUUCCAAAUAGUGUUUUACUUGAAUGAUGCUCCUAAAUGAGGCUGAGGGUUGAUUGAAUUGCUUCUAAUAUCUCCUGGAUGAAACAUGUAUUGACUCUUCCUGAGAAAGCAUUACAAAUUCCCCUAAAUUCUUCAUCAAAUCCAGCUUAUUUUGAGAUUAUGGGAAGACAUGAGUACACAAGUUGAACUUGUACACAAGGCUCAAGGUGAUACUUGGAUUUCACUCACGUAUUAGUUCUCAUACAGUCAUUUUCCUUUUGGGAACUGGACAAAUUUCUUCAGAUCUAUUAUUAUAUUUUCAGAGCUUCCUAGCUUAUGCUUUAAAGUCAGACUACACCCAGCCUGCCUUGAUAUGAAAGAAGAUCCAUUAGCUAAAGUGGAGGGGUGUGUGUAGGCCCAGGUGUUAGAAAUGUCCUUUCAAAUGGGGCACUGGAACGGGCUCCCCAGGGCAGUGGUUACAGCACCAAGCCUGCAGGAGUUCACAAAACAUUUAGACAAUACUCUCAGAUGUAUGGUUUGAAUUUUGGGUGGAGCCCAAAAUUUAGGGUGGAGUUGGACUUGAUGAUCCAUGUUGUCCCUUGAUGAUCCAAGCGCUGUGAGCUUGAAGAGAGCAGUACUGGUGAGGUACUGUAUGCUCUGGGGUUCACCAAUUGGUGGUUGUCCUGCUGGCCAUCUGUCUGGCCCUACAUCUUGGGGGAGAAAGACUAAUGUCUUCUUAAAGAGAAGAUAACAGAUGAGAGCAAGAUAGAAGAGUAUGUUUCCCAGUCAUUGCUAUUACAAACCCCACCUGUUUUCUUCAUGGUCAAAGGUACCUCAGCUGUGUAGGCAGAAGAUGAGGAAAGAGCAUGUGAAGCUUAUGCAGAUGAGUUUUCUUUUGCUUUUAUAAUUUAUAUGGAAAGACUGUUGGAAAACUACUUACAAAUUUCAGGGAAUUGCUCCAAUGUAACCUAAUGAGACUUGUAUCUCUACAGAAAACUUAUCAUUCUUGAAUUUCUCAGUAUCAGAUUGAGCUUUGUUUGUGCAGUAGUUUGAUUUGGUCCCCACUCUCCAUGCUAAUUAAAAUACUGUGCUUGCCGUGUAUCAUAUUUACUCGUUUCUGCUAGGUGUAUCAACUUUGAGCAGUGUAGAAACUUAUCUUCUGUGUAGGAUGUUAAUUCACUUUUUUAAGCAGUUAGUGUUGCCAACAUAGGAUCAGCUGCUGUCUUAUUUUCAUACACACGUGCAUCACAUGUUUGUCUUGAAAACUCAGAUGCAGAAAGUGGAACUACAGGUUCCACUCAGGAUGAAAAUAUACUGGCAUGACAGUCCUCCCUGCAAUUUCAGAUAUAUGCAAGUGUCAGAUUAUUUUUUUCUACUUUCAUGGAGUUGAGUAUUACUUGAGAGGUGUAAAAUUCCAGUCUCUUUCAUACUGAGAGAAAUGCAGGAUGUGGCAAUACUGCUUUACAGUUUCAUAAAGUUGAAUUAUAGCAAGAAUUAAAUCAGAUUCUUUAAACAGUGUAGCUCUAAAGGCCACUGAAAAGAAAAUGAAAGAGUAGAUUAUCAGGGGAAAAGAGCAGAUUGCCUCCCUUAAAUAAAAAUCUGCAAAAAGUGUCACUGAAUGCACUUAAUCUCUUUAUCUUCAUCCUGGAGUUUUCAAACGAGAUUUUACCAUUAUUUGUGCAAAAAUGUAAAGAUCAAAGAAAUGUCUGUUUAUCUGGUUUGAUGAGAUUUUAUGAAAAGAUUAUGAAAAGAAAUUUGUAUUGAGAUGCAAUGGAUACUUGGGUUAAAAAGAAAAGAGAAGAAAAGAGAAGAAAAGGAAAGAAAAGAAAAAAGCUUGCAGUACUGAUUUUAAGCAGUAAUGAUUACAUUGUCUAAAAUUAUUAGUAUUGUUGAUGGCCAUUAUCCCCAGUACUUGGACUGAUUAUUUGUCACAUAGCGUCCACCACAGAGGAUGGGGAGACAUGUAAUAGGGGAAGAGUCAGAUUUUCUGCUCAUAGAAUGGAGACAGAACAAAUGAAAAAUUGGAGUAAUAGGGAUAAAGAUAGCUGCCGUGAGUCUCUGCAGCUCGACACUUUGCAUGACUGAGGACAAAGACAAAAAAGAAAAGCCAGAAAUGCCUGUGUGUUCCCACUGUAGCCCAAAAGCCUUGAAACUGCUGUCACUGAUACAGUAGUUGUGAACUACACUUGUCAAAUAUUUGGGUGAUGCUUACACAUUUUGGGAAUAUUAGUAUUUUUGUUACCAAAUUAUUUCUCUGUUGUCAAUUUCUCCUGUUUUCUUCUUCUUCAUCUUUUUAUCUUAGCCCCUCCCAUCCUCUUCCUCCCCAAUAUAUAUUAUCACAAAUUGAAACUGCAAGCAAUUAGGGAUAGCAAACUUAUUUUUUCAGUGUGUCUGUGCUGUGUUUGGUUAAACUAAGCCUUCAACCAAAGAAUUCACUUUUAGGUUAAUUAUCUUCAUUUUAUUAAAGGGUUUUUUUUUUUUUUAAUGCUAGUGGUUAUUUAUUUUUGCUUUUGUUUUUCACAGCUACUAAGAGCGUUUAGGUGGAGUCAUCCGUUAUUAUAGCAGAGGGUGGAGAUCCACCUCCUUUAGUGCUGUCAUUUUGCAAGUAGGUACCGCUACAUGUUUGCAUGCCAUAUGCAAAUAGUUCUCUUUGGCUUGGCCUUGACAGCAGCUGCCCCAGGGAAGAGUAAGUAAUUACUAGCAUUAUUUUUACUGGGUUUUCUCAUAGUAAUUUAUAUUCAGGAAGAUCUUUGGAGUUAUAGUCAGGGCUGGGAAGUCCCAUGGUGGUAGAUACUCCUUGCGUACAUACAAAUCAUAGACUGUAUUGAAAAAGUUGCAGUCUAAACAAACAUAAAGAGCAUAUUUUUGAGUGUCUAUUCUACUUCAAGCUUUUUCCAACACCAGGCACCUUCUUUUUGUUUUCAGUUACACAUAUUCCCACUAUACAAAGACACAUAUGCAUGUAAGCAUGCUGAAUAAAAUGUGGUAUUUGAAGGUUAUGUAUCUAACCCUAAGCUGGAUAUGUUUUAGUGUAUUUUUAGCACUAGAACAAAUUGAGAAUUAAAAUUAUGUUGGUGAUUUAGAAGGCUGUAGAAUGACAUAAUUUGAUGAUGUUAGUGCUUGUGUAGGUCUACUUUCAUUUAGAGACAUGGUCAAAGUAAUGCAGCAGAAAUGCUGGCUUUCUCAGGAGAAGAUGAUCCUACAGAUUCAUUUUCACUGAUAUGAUUAUCCCAAAGGCUUAAUGGAAGUGGCGAUUAAUCACAGAAUCAUUAAGGUUGGAAAAGACCCCUAACAUUAUCUAGUCUCCAACUGUCUACCUAGCACCAAUGUUACCCACUAAACCACGUUCCUUUGUACCUCCUCUACAUGUUUCUUGAGCACCUCCAGGGACGUGACUCAGCUCUUACUGGGGGCAUAAAUGUCAGGCACCAUAAAAGGGAAAUGAUGUAAGAUUGCUGCAUAACUUCACUGUGACUCAGGGCUUCUGGUACAAGGUCUGCCUGCCUUCCUCCUCCCCCCUAACCCUAAUAAUUAGAAAAAUAUUAUUAGUCUGUUAGCAAAUGGUUCUAAUUACCAUUGACAAGCUCUUAUUCAUUGCACUCUGUUGUUUUCAGGGGAAUGGAAACAGUACACAAACUCUUCUCGCUGAGCAGCACCUUCCAUGGCAGAAACAUGAACAUGAUUUAGGAUAUACCCAUAAACAUACAGACAUUAAAACCAGGGAAGAUCCACUGAUGAUGAAUCCCAUCUCUCUGCUAAGGAAAGCCUAUGCAGAAGUAUGCUUUGUGGUGUUUCAUUCAGAAUAACAUUCUUUCUUUCUUUCUCUCUUUUUUUUUGAAGAACUCCUUAGCAUCUACUUUUUGUUUUAUAUUGCACAAAAAUUUAAUGAUGAGUUUAACUCAAUUACAGAAUAGAUUUUGUUGCUGCUUUCGGAGAAAAAUGUACUAUGUUGUGUCUAACUUAAAUAUCCUCCUUCAUGUUUGUUAACUAUACUACUAUUAAGUCAUGGAAAGAUAGCAUAAGAAUAAUUUUUAUCUUCUUUUUUUCCAUGAAUUAAGGGAAGGUGCCUUAUGUGACAGGAAUAGGAUACUUGAAGGAGAAAAUGGUAAAAUAGCAAGGUUUAACUGCCUUCAUUAUUUGCAUUCCUCCAGUAGUGCCAGUCCUACACUAAAAUCUAGCAGUCCUAGUCUAAAGUCAGACCACAUUGUGCUUUUCACCAUACAAAACUGUAUGCAGAAAUGAUUUCUGUUUUGAAACCAGCACACCAGGCACAACAGCUCUAUGUAGGUAGACUGGGAAGAUAUAAUUAAUAUCUAUGGUUCUGCAUUAUCUUCCCUUCCCUUCCCUUCCCUUCCCUUCCCUUCCCUUCCCUUCCCUUCCCUUCCCUUCCCUUCCCUUCCCUUCCCUUCCCUUCCCUUCCCUUCCCUUCCUUCCCUUCCCUUCCCUUCCCUUCCCUUCCCUUCCCUUCCCUUCCCCAGUGAAUGCUUCAUAGCAGUGGUGAUUCAAAAGAGUUGCCAUAGUUGGAAUUCUUCUGAUUAAUGAAAAUGUUGGGAACUUGAGGCAUUCCUGACUUUGUAACCGAUAAGCAACUGCUCAUAGGGAAGAGAGGAGGUAAAGAAAACUUUUAAGUACUGCAAAGAUAAAACACAUUUGAAUCUACUGAAAAUGAUCUCUUCAUUUAUCCACUGGAGUACAUGAUAUGGUUUGAUGUCUGUACUGUAUCCUCAUGAUGAUCUGUCACAAUUAAAGUGAUGUCUGCUGGAAUAUCAGCAGGUUUGAUGAACUUCUCUCUGCAUGGAUAGACAGUUCUUGCAUUUGAAGUGAGAUGAUCUCUGAAUUAGAAGCAAGUAUAGAAAUUGAACUGAAACAAAAGUUUUAUAGUUAAUAGGAAAAUGUAGUGAUGUUAUAUGUUGUCAGCAUAAUAAUCUGUAUAACAAGAGAAUCAUUUUCACAUUGAUUACAUUGUUAUCUUGUGUCUCUAAUGAAGAUUUCUGAUUCCUCAUAAUUGGUUUAUGGAGCGCGUAGUCUCAAAAAUCUUAAGUCAAUUUGGCCAACAGCAUUUUAUUUUUAGUUCUCUUUAAAGAAGCAAAUUCUGUCAACAAAUGCUUCUUACGCUGUUCUUGCCAUGUUUUCUUUUUAGAUAGACAAAUGAAGUCAUAAUGUUGAGUAAAAAUGGUGUGCCAUUGAAUUUAGAGGAGGUCAGAGCUGAUUAGGACAAAAAGUGCUUCUAUAGGUUAAAUCACAGCACAGUUUGGGUGAUCAACUGCUUGUAAGAGAAUCGGCCCUGAUAGGAAAAGACAGAUAAACCGUUAUAAUAACCCCUGCUUGUGUCUGCAUCUUUGCGACUGCAGUGUGCUACCACAGUUUGUAUGACUAUUUAUGGUUGUACAAAUCCAAAUUCAACUAUUUUUACUUUUGUGAGUAACAGCAUCGUUAUACAGUCGCUCCUAAAUAAUUUUGCUCUGUAGAAUUAUUGGCUCGUCUUUGAUUAAACUGCCUUUAGCUAAAUCUGUGCAAUUACAGUGGAAGAUAAGAGGCUGUUGUCUGAGAACAGCUGAAGUCAAAAUGUAAAGACUUUUAAGCCACACAUAAGGCGCUGAGAAUAGAAUUUGAUCUGCAGAAGUUAUUUUCUCCAGUUGGUGUACAGAAGCGAAAACAAAAAGUCCGGUUUUCAGCUUCAAGGGAGCGUGUAAAAUGUUUGACCCCAAGAACAUCUGAUGUGGAAAAUACGGCAAAAGUACAAAAUGCUUUGUACAAAAUUACAUUUUGCUUUCAAAAGUGUCAAUAAAGUAGCACUGCUGUUGAAUACAGCAGUGAAAACUCAGUAUUUUGUUAUUUCUAGCCUUUUCCAGUGGGCGAGGUCUGCAACUUUGCAUUUCAAACAUACUGACCAACUGUUGGUUAAAAAGCUUGUCCAGGUACUGUACAAAGCUCAGAGGGGGAGCAUUUCUGAAGGAUGUUUUGUCUUCUUUCUCUUGUCAUCCCCACUCCCGCAGCCAGGAAUAUAUAUACAUAUGCAUGUAUAAUGAUUGCUUAUUGUUGUUAAUUCAAAGGACUACUGAAUUGAAAACGCAUUUACUUUUUAUAAUUGCCUCUUGCUCCCAUCCCACAAAAGAGAAGAAUAAAAAGAAAAUGAGAGCUUUAAGCACUUACUCUUCUAGUGUAACACUAGUAUUUCGAACAGUGCAUUUGACCUUUGAGCAAAGGAAAACAGAAUAUUGAUGUAUGUCUAUGCUCAUCUCUUUCACUAGGGUUUGCUUUUGAUCCCAGUGAAUUUAUGAAAAAGCAGUGUAAGUGGACUCCACAUAUUUAAAGUUUACUUGGUAUUUUUAAGCUAGAGAUGAUAUUUCCAUCUUUCUUCUAAAAAAUCAGUCUUUCAAAUUAGAAGAGAUGUGUAUUCUCUGUGUAUUUUUUCCCUGGGGCUUGAUAGCUAGAGCUCAGUUGUGCUUUUUAAAUGAAUUUAGCUAUCAGCUUUCAAUUUUUCAUGCUGUAUUUGAGACUUGUCUGUAUUUUCAAUGAGCGUUACUCUUUCUAGCAAAGAUGUGAUGUUAACAAUGUCUUUGCCAUACUCCUAAUCUAGUUAUGUGUGGCUGGAGUCUCAAUGAAAAAGAAUGAUUUUCUGUUUCUAUUUUUGCUCAGUGCUGAUGGCCUUUUUGAUCUGCUAUUUUAAAGUUUAUCUCAUUUUUAAGCUAAUAGUAGACUUGGAGAUAUAGAUUAAAAUUGCAACCAUGCAAUUACUAUUUUAAUCUUUCUGAAAAAUUCGUUGAUAGCUUUAAAAUGCUUUGUAAAUGCAGCAAUUACUAUAGCACUGAUAAAAGAAUCCACUAAAAUUAUAACAAAGAUAGUAAGUGAACGUUGACGCUCUUGUGCUAUUUACUAUGUUCUGCUGUCCAUCUACAUUAUCAGAUUUUUGUAUAUAAAUAUAAACCCGUGAUUAAUUUUUAUUUAAUACUACAGUAAGUAAGGUAUGGAAGUCAAAGUCUUUCAGUGUAACCAUGCUUCCACUGAUGGUGGAUGAUGUGUUUAAUAGAGCACAAGUUUUAUGAUUUAAUUUAAAUGUAUUCUUCAGAAACAAUUCUGUCAGACCUCAAAAAUAAAUAAGUGUGUAUACAGAACAAGAACUGACAGGAAAAGACAUUUGGAAGGCACUGAAGGAGAAUGAAUCAAUUUGCUGAUGCAUUAUUGCUAUUCUGAUGUUGUUUUUUUUAAUAACUUUCAGGCAAGCAGCUGAUACUGUGGGAAAUUUAUACGGGCAUAUCGCAUUAAGUUUAUUCACAAUGCCCUCAUAAAAUUCAUAAAUAUGAUGAGACUGAAGAAUUAUGCCAUUCAAACAAUACACUGUAUUUUAAUAGACAUGCAAAUAGGAUUAGAGAUGUUCAGGACUGUUACUGCUUGACAUCCGUAAGAUGCUGCAAAUAGUGGGAGCAUCCUUGUCUGUCCUGAGCUUGUCAGGCUGUCUCUUGCUUGGAAUCUUGUUGGAAUGGAUCACACCGCUGUCUUUGAGCUCCUCUGUCUGUGUGAGGAGGGGGGUAUCCCAGAUAUGAAAACCUCAGUUAUCUUUCUCUACAGUAGAUGUAACUUUCCAAUUUGUGUCUCUGCACAGAGGUCUAUCUCUGAGAUAUUGCAAGAGAGCCUGUCCAGAAAUAACGGACUGGAAGGAAAUCCCAUGGAUUUUUGCUACCUCUGAUGGGGAACAAGAAGAAUAGCACAGGCUAAGGUGUUUCUGAGAAAAUUGUAACAUGUUGGCACUUACCCUCUCAGCUGAACAGUUCAGUUUUGAUUGUGAGCCUAUAUCCUGCAGGUGCUUAUGGCGAGCCACAGCAUUUACGAUGCAGUGGCUUUCCUUAGUAAAUAGUGCAAAGUGCAGCAACAAGCUGAGUUGAUGUGUAAAUUAGGCCAGUCUAUGUAAGUUGUGUCCUCUGUUCACAAGGUCUCCGAUAGAAGGCAGUCCAACUGGUAACCCAUCCUGAAGAGCACGGAUUUGAUUCACUCAGUCCUUUAUUGGGGCAGAGAAAGGUUGUGUUAUUCAUUUGUUUUACACUGAAAGGUGUUUAGUUUUGGCAGUAUAGGUGGGGAAAGCAAUUAGAAAGAGGUUGAGAAAAAAACAAGGGAAGAUUUGCAGAUAAUCCUUAUGCUUUUAAACUCCAGAUGCGUAUCCUAAGGUAAUGUUCUUGUAGCCUUGGCUUCCAAACAUUUGUAAGCACUGUCGGAAGUAAAUGUGUCAGUACAACAUGCCUUCUUGAUGAGUCUCACUUUUCUCUGAAAAAAAAUAAAAUGCUUGCAAUCAAGGAACAAGAGAUAAAAAUCAGAACUCUUUCUAACAGGCCAGGCAGUGUCAGAUGAAGAUCUCAUCAACUGACACAGCAAUGCUUUGCUUUAGUUGAAGAGAUGACACUAUACUUCUAUGUACGGAUCCUUUUCUUAGCCUGGAAAAAUGUCUUUCUCUGAUAUAAGUUGUUCGGCUUCAGAUUGUUUAACUUGCAGAUCAUUUUCAGAAGUGAACAAACCUUCAUAUAAGUGUAUUCUAAACUAGGGUUUGGCAGACUCUCCUCCUGGAAUGGAUGUUUGAUGGGAGAUGAUUUUUCAGAGUCAGAGGUUGAUUUAGACAGUAUAGCUAAAUCAUAGGAUUUCUGUUUAAAUACUAAAAAUAACUAAUUUUUCUUUGUCAAGUGCCAAAUAUUCAUGCAGACAUUGUAAAGUAGUGUAAAAUGUAUCCUUCAUCUGGAAAAGGGAAUGAUGUAAUAUAUCACUUUCAGUGCAGUCAGCUUAAACGAGUGGGAUUUCCACAUCGUCAGGAUUGUGACAUUUCAGUUACUUUUGAACUUUCUGACCUUUCCAAAAUAUUACUUUUGAUUACAUUGGUCUUUUAGUUGAUCCGGUCUCAAAGUUUUUCCUCAUGUUUACUUAGUUCUCACAUUCUCCAUUCCUUUUCCCUGACUUCCCACAUCUGGGCCACUAAAAUUCAGUGCUUAUAGUGCAAGAAGUGUUGCUGAAGUUUAUCAGCUGGACCCGAGUGCAUAACGCUGGGCUGAGCUGUUUAUGCUUUUGUUACAGCAAGGCAUACAGUUGGCUGUGAGCUCAGUGCACCUCACUGAAGCCAAGAACUCUUCACUUGCAAAUUUCAAGGUCUUGGCGUGUUGAAGACAGCUUCACACAUCGGUGCUGGCAGCUCCUUCAUGUCUACAGCUACACUGAUAGUUGUGUUGUGAUCAGUGGCACGGCCUCCCUGUAUCUUUGCAGUCAGCUUUCUGGAGGCAUAGCUGUAUUUAUUCAUUUAUAUCUGGUAAGAUACCGCUCUGGAUGAGCAUGGCACUGUGCCUGUGCAAUUAUGUCCUGCAGGUACUCGUAGUCUCCUAAAUACCAUCUGGCAGUGCUGCAGGGCCAACUGUAUCAGAAAUUCCAGACAGUGAAAAGGAGAUAUUUCAUAGUGAAUGUGCUUCACCUAUUUUUUUUUUGUCUUGUGUGGAAAAACCAAAUAGGUUGUUCAACCCAAACAUAAGCAUUAUGCAUAGAUGCAUGGUGAGAUGAUAAGCCAGCUGGGGUAACCCCUAACUUUAGAUUUUCUCACUCCUGAGCUUAAAUUCACAGUUUAAUGAUGUCUUUACAUGGAUUUAUGCAUUUAAUUCCUAAUUACGUUUUGAAAGUACUGCCUGCCUGAAGACCUAAAACCUCCAGUGCCUGCUGAAGCCGGUGCUUUCAGAUUCAUCUAAAACAUGAGCCAUGGCAUGUACUUUUUGAAGUCUUUGAACUGCAUGUAGCUUUAGUUUGAGCUCUGUCUACUACAGAGGGAAAGGAAACACUUUCCUAUUCUGCUCACAGCCUGUGCUGGAGGGCUGCUGCCUCUUUUCUCACAAUUACUGCUGCAGCUAAUCAUAUGUAAUCCCUGUGUUAGUACUAACAAAGAAAAUCUGUGGGCAUUGGAUAGACGUUUUUUUUACAUGGAGAGAUGCUUGUAUUUUAUUUUAUAACUCCAAUUGCUUUGGAUCUGCAAUUGUUCUUUUUUUUUUUUAUGUAGCAGACAUCCUGAUUAAAUUUAUGGGUUCCUAAAAUACAUAACUUGUAAUGUUUGAUAAACAAUUUUCCAUUUUUCUUUCAUCAGAUGCAAAUAUUCUGGGGGGAGUUCUCAGUUCUAUUCUCCAGGAUAGAAUGCUGAGCCACUGUAAACUGUUCCAUAAUAGAAUAGCUACAUGUCCGUCCCUGGAGGCAUUCAAGACAAGGCUGGAUGUGGCUCUGGGCAGCCUGGUCUGCUGGUCGGUGACCCUGCACAUAGCAGGGGGGUGGAACUCAAUGAUCAUUGUGGUCCUUUUCAACCCAGGCCAUUCUAUGAUUCUAUGUCUGGGUAUAUCAGACAUCUAUUUUUUUUUAAUACCCUUGUGGAAAUUCUUUCAGGACAGGUCUUUGCUGGGCUGCCAAACAUCUGGAAAUCUUGGACAAAUAGCCAUUUCACGUGGACAGAUUCUAUUGCGAUGAGUCCAGUGCACAAGGAUUUGUCCAAAUUGCUCUAUAAGACCUAUGCAGUGGGUAUUUUCACCUUAAUAUAUAGCAUGUGAAAGACAGAAAUACGAAUCCUACUCUGUGUGAUAGAUUGCGCUUUGAUUUACAGCAUUAAGGUUUUGAAUGCUUUUAUGCUUCUAAGCAAAUGUGGGUUCAAAUUUUUGUCAUUUUCAGAUGGUGAUUUAGAUUGUGUUUCUAUAAUUGUAUUCAAAUGCACUUCUGCCCAAUCGUAUUGGGUAGUUCACAUAUAUGUAUAUAUAUUUUCCUUAAAUACUUCAUAGUUUAGCUCCUGGAUAAUACCUAGAUACUAGCUUUGAGUUUGUAGGUAGGCAUGUACCCCUCUUCUCUAUGGAAAACUGUAAAAUGGGGUUUCUCACGGAGAUGCAGGGAAAUUACUGGCUUGUUUAAAUGUUUGGGAUCAUUUAUUUGUUGAUAUACUGAAUCAUUUUGGCAUUGAGUUUUAGGUUGCCUUUUUGUUGUUUCAUACAGCUUGGUUUGUCAAGUGUGCCCUAUCAAGUAGGUUACUAGAGGAUUCAGCUCUCACUCAGAUACAGAGAUGUGUUUGGGAUAAGAUCCUGUACCAAAAAUAUGAGAUCAGAAUAAAUCUUACGUUCUGCUGCUGUGGAUGUUAACAAUAAGGGCUUGGUUGUGAACUCAGAUGCAUUUUGUUUUUUAGAAGUAAAAUAUGAGUGCUCUUCAUUACAGCUGCAGUUUAUCAAUACUUCAGUAGGUCCAAUAGGUCUGACAGUUCUCUUCUACUAAAUCUGUCAGUUGCCUUUGAGAUGAGAGUGGCCUUAUUAUUCAGGUUUUUAUUUUGAUUGCAGGCUUUAGCAAAGGGUAUCAGAAUAGUGGUUAAUUUUUUUAAUCCUUUCCUCUUUAAAGAAGAUGUAAGUUUGGUGGCUUUUCUAUCCUACAAAUACUAUUAUGACAAUUCAGGAUUUAGAUUUUCACGUCUUUUAGGGCAAGCAUGUUUCUGCCUAUAAUUACAUAUGUAAGACAAUUCCUGGAAGGAUUUUAUGCAUGAGAGUUUUUUUAAGUCUAAAGUUUCUUCUGCCAAAACAGUCAUCACAUAAUACAUGUUUUCUGUCAUCUAAAUGAAAUUAAGAUAGAGGUGAACAUUGAUCUGCAUCCACCUCACAUAGAAGGAUUUUUGACAGGUUAAAGAAUAUUUGUAAAUGGCAAGAGUGAAACUCAGUCUCUUGAAAGAUUUUGACCAACCAUUUUCAGUGUGCUGAGCAGUUUAGAAGUUUUGAUGAGGACUCCCCAUAUUUUUUUCUAAGAUAGAUAUGUUAAGUACGUCCUUAACUGUUCCUUACCUGUUCCUUCCUGACCAGCCUUUACCAUAUUUAUCUCAAUCUUUGUCACAGUCAGAUCAGAUUAUGAUGUUGCAGCCCGAGUUAUAGCGAUAUCCAAAUACCAUUAAGAAUUUCUGUUGAAGAAAGAAUAAAACGUCUUUCUUGCUGAAUCACGUCUCAUGCAGACCUGUGCUCUGUAGGUAAUUGUCUUAUGUAUAUGUACAUUUGUCAUAACUGCUUUCCUUUUCUCUAUCUUAGCAGUUAGUUUCAUCUCAACCCAUGAGUUCUACUUUGUUUUUAUCGAUUCUCUCCCCUAUCCCACUGGGAAGGAGAGGAGUGAAUGAAUGUCUGUGGUGCUCAGCCACCUGCCGGGUUAAACCACAACAGUAAUGCAGCUGAUAAUUCGUUUAAAGCCUUUCAAAUCUCCUAGUAAAAGAGAAAACUGAUCUGAAAUUCAUUGUAACAACAACUAAAACCACCGAAAAGAAAAUAAAGUUAGAAAUACACUUGGCACGUAUUUAUUUACAGUUGACUCUGCUAUUCUCAGUAAUGAGGUGGGAUAAGGAAAAGAAAGCAACCCCCCCAAAAUUUAAAACAUAUGUAAAAGAGCUACAAGAACAUUCUGUACGUAGUUUAUAUUCAAAUUUUAAAUGAAGAUAGGUUAAAAAAUGAAAAGGAAAAUGUUCAGGGUCUUUUCUACACUUAUUGUUAAUUCGCAAGCUGGAUAGUUCUUCCAUGACUAAUUGAGAAUAGGUGAUAUUUCACGUGUUUUGGUUUAACUAAAAAUUGUCAACUACUUCUUGCACUCCCUAUUCCUAUUUUAACUACAGUUAUUCUAAUACCAGGUCUAAGGUACUAAAGGAAUUCUGUUUUUCCUAUUGAGGCUAUUCUUGCAGCACAAGCUUCUCUAACCUGCUUUGAUGGGCAGAUUAUGCAAGUUUGUUUUAUUAAUUUACUGCUGUCAGAAGUCACUCAUUGUCUUCUUUGUUAGAUACUGGAAAUAAUGUAAAACUUAAAUGCAAAGGAUGUUAAAUAGUUAGACUAGGAUCUACUCUGUAUUAUUCCUGAUGUAAUUAAUUUGACUUGUGUUUUUGAAAGCCUUCAGUCAUAGACACUGUAAAUGGUGCUAUUGCUUGCUGUUCAAUCAGGAUGUACUGGCUUUGCAAUAGCAAAUUCAAGCUGUUCUGUAGAUGUGCUUUAGAAUAUGCAGAGCAAAUAUGAGAUUAAAAAAAAAAGGAAAAAAAGACAUGAGUUUGAAGGGUUAUUUUAGGGUUAUUUCCAUUCUGUUUUUAAAGAACCUUAUUCUCUAUACAAACUUUCAGAGUUUUCCAAAAAGGAGUGAUUAAAGCUGUAAUUGCUCUACUAAGAUAUGUCGCGCUAAGACGGUCACUCUUCUAUUCUGUGUAUUAAUCAGUUUCAAUAUUUACCUGUAUUCAUGAGUCACCUGAGCUUUGGUAUAGUUAUCUGGUAUGCUGCCAGGUUAUGCUUUGCUUAGUAUCAUUUGCUAGAAGCGGGAUAUCUCAGCUUGCUGGGGAACACAUACAUGCAUAUACAUGUCUGUGACUGCAAGCUAACUCUGUGGGGAAAUGUGAAGGAGCUGUCUAAAUUAAUCAUCUCUCAGCAACUGUUAUAUCUCAUACAGAUAAAAUGUUUCUGAAAAGGUCUGGAGUAAGAAGGGGGAGUGGGAGGGAGAUUCAGACUUUAAUUGCUUUUGCCAUGUCUUUAAAUAAGGUGCAAAAUCAGCAUCUGUGCUAUAAGUCUGCUUCAAAGCAUAGAAGGCUACUGCAAUUCACUGCUGCUUUAUGGUUAGAGAGCAAAAAUGGAAUAUCAGCUUAGAGGUAUAAAUGAAGAGAAGGUGAGUUGAUUUUGUUUCACUCUUGAUUCUCCUGUGCUCUCACACUGAGCAUAGCAGACCCAUCAUGCCAUGUACAUAUGCAUUCCUCUAUAGAUCCUCACCAUCCUGGGCAGGACUCAGGAGUGCUUAAGACUGAAGCAAGACAGAUGCCUACCCAACUAAGGAUACCUGGAGAUUUGGCAGCAUCACAGAGUGAAAUCAGCAGCUCACGAACUCUGAGGAGAGGCAGUGAGCUUUCUCUUCCCACCAUCUUUGCAACAUGAUGUGUCUCUGUAACAGUGUAGGCAGCAGGCAUAUGUGAAAAAAAUAUUAGGAAUCCUAAGAUGCAAAUAGCUGUGCUAUAGUUUGAGUUUCUAUAAAACACAGAAAUCAGAAAUUAUCACCGGGCAGGAAAGCUGUAUUAACGUUAAAUGUUUUCAUGAAUCAGAAUAACUGAAACAGAAAGAGCCCCCCAAAGCUUUAGUUCUUAAUUUUUAUACUUGGUGCAAGGUUGUGGCUUUAGUUUUAGUGUAAGUUCCCUGGGAUUAUUAAUGUGCUGCUGUUUUGUUGGAUAUAGAACUUAGGCAAUACCCUAUAUGAGUACUGCCCUGGUUUAGGUAAUAGCAGUUUCUGUAGUAUGUUUUAUUUCUGUUCCAAACCAGCAAUACUAGAGAAAGCAAAUAAUUUCCCUAACUGGCUACAGUUACGUCUUUGUAGGAAUAGAAAUAGUUUUUAGUAGAAGCUUAAAAUCUACAGAAAUUAAUGUUCUGCACACUGCUUAAUCCCUUAUGACCAUGGGGCCAAACACUAUAAAACUGCUUUUUCCGGGAUCUAGAACUAAAAGCUACACAGCUUAACAUCUUUAUUUGGGAAGUGCUACUUAAAUAAUUGCCUAGUUUUAAGUUAAAAAUGUAGUUUAUUUAUUGGGGAAUCUCUGAAUUCAUCAGCUGUCAUUCUACAUUAUUGGAACCACCAUCUUCCCACAUACAGAUCUCUCUUGUGAAAUCUUUACUUAGGAAACCAGAAGGGAGUGAGCUGAAAUUGUAUUAAUCUUUAGAAAUUUAAAUAAUCUUUUCCACUCUUAUUUAAAAAUAACUCUCUCUGCUUAUGUAACAGAACUAUCCAUAUAGCUAGUAGUUAAUUUCUAAUGAAGCUUUUGUAAAGUCUAUGUAAAGAGACCUUUCUGAUGUUGCUCAGUGGAGAGAAGCAGAAAUGUUCUGCAUGAGUAUGCAUGUGCCCAGCUUUGUAAUCUACAUAAGCAGAAAAAAACACCGUCUUGGAAUGACACGUUUUUGUGCCCAGGGGCUUCUCUCGAUAGGCAAUACAUUUAGAUUGUCAGAGAUACAGAUGAAGCCAACUACUCUGCUCUUUUGGAAACUCAGAUAACUUCACACCAAUGCAGAAAUCAAUGCAAAUACAUUUUAAUUCAGCUAAAUCCAUACACAGUGCUGACAUUAACACUACAAAUAUGAUUUCUCUUGAGCUAAAGUUGCUCUUUCUGAUGAGAAUAGAACAUAUAUUUAUUUCUUCAGGGAUCCUUCCUCACUGAGAGUAGAUGCUUAGGAAAAUUGAUAUUUAUUUCUCUUAGUAGUGCAGGAAUCAGUUUAGUGCAAAGCCAAGGUUAUUCAGUGUUUUGGAACUUGCCAGGAGGGAUUCCGCAAGGAAACUGGACUGUAGCACCAGCUGAAAUAGCACAAUAGAAAAUGCCACUUUGGCAGCUGGAAGAAAUCCAGGGCACAGAGUCAACAGCUGCCUUCUGUUGUCUCGGUACUGGUCUCGUGUCUGGAUCACAGAAGACUUGUGAUUUUUCCCGGUCUCAGUCUGGGAGAAAAAGCCUGCCUUUUGUUUUAGUAGAUAUGUUUUAUCUGAGCCUUUUUUGAUGCUAGGAAAGUCACAGAGUAAGUCAUCUUGGAACAGAGUUCAGGUCACAUGAAGUUGGUGGUGGUCAGUGGAAAGUCAGCACUAAUUACCUUCUAUAAUAAAAAUAUCUGGAUUCACAGAUGAGGGGAAAGCAGAGGUUGUCACUGACCUCCAUUUUUGACAAAGCCUUUAAGAUCAGUUCAUACAACAUUCUUAUGUGAGGAUGUUUGUGAUCUGGUGGGGAAAAGCAAUAGUUCGUGUGUUGUGCUCUAUCUGGAGGAGUAUCCAGUAAAGUGCUAUAGGGUCUAUUGUUUUGUUCAGUAUCUCAAUAAUUUGAAGGAGGCAAUGAAGUAGUUGAUUGUAAGGUUUUGCACCAAAUUGAGACCAGUCACAACAACCAAGGACAGGGCUGCCAACCAACGGAACCUAGCGAGACUGAAGCAAUGGACUAAUGAGUGUUACACAAUUCAGGAAUGAUAAAUGCAGUUGCUGUCCUUGGAGAUUUUUGAGACUCACCUAGGGACAGCCCUAAGCAAUGUAAUAAGAACAAGCUUUUCUUAGAAAAGAAGGUUGGAUUGGAGCUCUGAGGUCUUUGCCAGAAUAAAUUAUUCUGUGAUUAUCCAGAAGAGGUAUUUAAUACGACUGAUGGAACAGCUUAGUCCUGUUUCCACAAAUAAUUUUUUUUAAAGGAAAAGUCAACAACAAUAAAAAACCCACCAACUAAGAGCUCUUUGGGUAGACAGGGAUGUGAAUAGAACUAUACAUCCCCAGAAUAGUGUAAAACUCAUUCCUCCUCAGGGGCAAUUCUCCAUCCUGUUGCCAGCCUUGCACAAUAAGUAACAAACAGAAGAGCUCUGUUUGCAGCAUCUGAAGACAUUCCACAGUCAUGUCCCUUGCUCUGCAUAGAGGACUUUUUCCCCUUGGUUUUAACUCCCAUUUUAUUUCUCUAAUAACUUUGAUCACGACCAUUUUAUCUGACAAGAGCUCCUCCAGGGUGUUUUCCAGCACCAUGAUAGUGCAUUAAUGUCAGCCCUAAGGAAGAAGGAAAUUCAUGUACUGUCUUACAGUCUUUUCUUCGUCUGAUUGGAACUCCGCAAGUUAGGAGUGGGGGAAGAAGAAACUGCAGAGUCCUGGACCUACGGAGAAAACAGACGCAGAGUGUUAGGAAAGUUGCUUACAGGCCUACAGCAAGGAUGUGUGGUCAGUCUCAUCGCAAAAAAAUGUUCCAUGAAGAUGAUCAUAGGAGAAGACAAGGGAUGUCACAGAAACCAAGAUCCAGCUCUUUGUGAAACUCAUUGGGAAUGCUGAUCUCAUAUGCAGUCAUGGGUUGUUGAACUAGCAUUCCCAUGAAGCCCAACCUGGUCUUCCUGCUACCCACAAAGCCCCUUUAAGCAUUGCAUCAGUUGGCAAGGUCAGGGUUCUAUCACUUAUGGACUGAUAAAUGCAAACCUGGGAGAUCUGUUUAUGAGUAAAUGAGGGAAAGCAACUGUUCUGUCUGAUGUCAGCUGCACGUGGUACAGUUGCAGUGAUAGAAGUGAUACGGAACACUCAUAAUACCUAAAGAGAGAGCAGUGUGUGCAAUCCCUCCUGGAAUGGGGAGCAUUCUUUUUUAGGAGUUGCAGCUUUGUCUUGGUGAAGAUGCUUAAGAAAUAUGUUCAUUAGUAAUGUGAAAGGAGUAUGAUCAGACUUCUCAAGUCAGAAACUAAACAAAAACCCAUGCACUUCUUGCUUGGAUAGGACUAAAUUCCUCAUUACUGUGCUUGGUUCAUCAGUUAGUUGAUGAACACAAGUACCUACUUACUGGAUUGCAAUGGAAUCUGCACCAGGAAGUUCCCUUAGUUCACUGUAAGUCAAUUUUGCAGUUUCUCUCCAUAUUGCAAUGACUGUAUAGAGUACCUUGUGGCCUUCUCUGGCCAUCAACACCAAGAAUACAAAUCGGUGGAUGAUCUCUCACGAUGAUCUUUUCAGACUCUCCAUUUUGCCAAAUGCGUUUUCUGCCUACGUACAUUUUGCAGUGAUCUUGAGUAGCUUACAGGACACAGAAUGCAAAUCACAAUUGUUGUUGGAAAGAGCUGCUACUGAAAAAAAACCCCAACAUUCAGAACAAAGUUAUUACCGCUUCGUAACAUCUUAAAAAAAAAAAGUUAACCACUGAGCUUUUUUUUCUAUCUUGAUGCAGUGUAUGGCUUUGUCUAUAAAAACCAAAAUGCUCGUGUCUUAUAGUACAGUAUUUAAAUGAUCAAGGAAGAAGUAUAAUAGUGUAUGCCAAAUAUUUUUGUAGCAUCUACCGACUCUAGCUUUCCAGUCUCACAGAGAGCAACCAUUGGACCUGUAUUAUUGUUAUUCCUAUCUUAUUCUGGAAAGAGAUGUGAAACUAUUCAUCCAUUACAACUGCUCUUUGAUAGCACCAUCCCCAGUCAGAUGGGAUUGUCAAACUGGGAUUUCUUCUUAUGUUAGGUCCAGUAUUAGGCCAUCACUUCAGCAAAGCAGAUUCCACCAUACAGGAAGAUUGUUUCCCAAAAUAAAUCUAAAUUCUGUUUUUUCUUCUGUCAGGUAUGAGCCUUGUACCUAAAAGUGACCUGAUAGGAACAUUUCAAUAUCUUAAAGGGAGCUACAGGAAAAAAGGGGACAGAUUCAUUAGCAGGGUCAUGGUGAUAGAGCAAGGGGAAAUGCCUUCAAGCUCAAAGAGGGCAGAUUUAAGUUAGAUAUAAGGAAAAAAGUCUUUUACAGUGAGGGUGGUGAGGUGCUGGAAUAGAGAUGCGGUUGAUGCCCCGUCCCUGGAGACUUUCAAGGUGAGGUUGGAUAGGGCCCUGGACAACCUGAUCUAGCUGUGGUGUCCUUGCUCGUUGUAGGGGAGCUGGACUAGGUGAUCUUUAAAGGUCCCUUCCAACUCUCAGGAUUCUAAGUGUGGUCAAUAUCGAAGUAAAAUCAUCAUGUCUCCUGAGUAAGGUCCUAUUAGCUGUCUCUUAGCUGCUCACACACGUUCAUCAAAAUCUCAUAUGGGUCACUUGAUACUGACCCAUUAUGUACUAUUUGUAGUAGACGUCUUUUCUUUUUCUCAUUAUUAGUAUUUUAGAUAUCUCAUUUAGACUAUUAAUUACAUCUUCCAAUUGGGAAAUGCACGGCUCUUCAACUCCUAUUUUAACAGUUAUCUAGAGCAUAAUAUGGUGUACAUUGCAUUGUAUUUGAACUUAAAUCUCUGAUUAGUAAAGCCCACUGGUAUGGCCAUUCUGUCAUAAAAUGUUUAUCCAGAAUUGAUAGCCACGUAAUUACUUUUAGUUAUGAAAGUUUUUAUUCUGUACUGGGAGAUAAUACUCUGAAAUCGUAUUGCUAGGAAUGAGAAAUAUCACAGUAUUUUCCAAACAUCAAAAUAUCUUUCAGCGGAAAGAAACUUCAAAUAUUCCUAUUUGUCACUGACAGACUGAUUUCUGCCCCUAAGGCUCAAGGAGACCAAUUGGUCUUCUGUAAUUCAUGUUUGGAGUUUGUAUACUUGAGGAAAGAAUUUUCGGAUAUUGGUGUAUAAAUACUGCUGUUCUGUCUUUAUACAGAAAUGGAAAAGAAAAGAGGACCCCUAAACAAAAACAUUUUUUUUCUUAUUUUUGCAAUUUUUUAUCUUCUGCAUAUGAUGAAUACUUCCCGUGUUUAUCUGGGUUGCUUUGGUAUUUGCCUCAAAAAUACAUCAUUAUCCACAAACCCUUAAUCAGAACAUGAAAGGAUCAUUUUAUCUCCUGUACUACUUCUUAUCCUGUAUUUCCCAGGGCUUCUAUUGAUUUUCCUUUUUAAUGCAAAUCACCCCAAAAUGUUUCAUUUUAGUUGUAGCAAAGCUAUUACCUUUAGUUUGAAGGCUUCUAAUUGUGAUUUUCCUUGAAUAUUAUAUUGGAAUUUAUUCCAGUAGUCUGUAAUGUUUCUAUAUUUUAAAAUGAAUUAAAUACAUACGCUUAAAUUAGCCUUUCAACAGCAACAACAAGUUUUUAUUAGAUAUCAUUCUCUUUGAAUAUUAUUGAGAUUAUAUUAGAACUGUGUGAGAAUUCCUACACCGUCAACUGCUUUCUGAUGAAAUUUGUAGCAGAGAUCUUUUACAUUUACUGAAUUCUUUCAUGAUAGCCUUCUGCAAACACUCUGUGAACAAAUAUAUUAAUAACAAUAAUUAGCAUUAAGUGGUCUGACGGUAAAAUCUAUGAGCGUAUAUUUAAUGGCAUGGGGAUGCAGAUUUCUUUUUAAUAUGUUGUUUUUAAUAGACUUCGGAGGCAUUUAGGAUAUCCUCUGGCAUUAUGGAGAAUGGGCCUGACUUGCAGAGUGAUUUUUUUAUAACUACUGCUGUAGCUGUUUUUAAUGGUAUGAGCACAUUUUAAAGUUUUGCAGUAAGCUUUCCUUGCUCCUGCAUUGAGUGUCACAUUUCUUACCCAGCUUCUGUUCUGGUAACCAUGGGAUGGGUCUAUAUGAGUGCUCACCUUUUCAGUUAGCUAUAAUGCUCUCAAAUUACAGUUUAUACUAUUGUUCUCCAGAGUUCCCAUUUCUGCAGUGCAAGAGAUCAUGUUCUUCAUGGAGGAUCCCAGAGAGUUUUAAAGGUGUGCACUUCCGUUUGCAUAGACUGAAUAUUAUCAAGUACAAUUCUAAUAUGAUUUUUGGUAUUUCAUUUUUUUCUGGUUUAUUUACUUUUGAAAUAAGAUGAUCCUUUAUAUGAGGCAGCGUCAUUGAAACAUGUUCUUCUGUAUUGAAAAACAUAGCUUGUUUCUUCUCACACACCCAUAUUAUCAGUUAACAUCUACCUUUAGUGCAGAGGGGCUCUGAAUCUCAAGGAAACACGGUGACCACUUGAAUCCAUGGGAUAUGUCACCAUGAUGACUAUCACAUCAUAUGACAAACAGCUGAAUGAGCAAUUACAGCUGUUCUUACCAUGGCUGGGCAGGUUAAGAGGCAGCACGAGCAGAACACACGGCAGUGAUGUCCUGGGACCAGCUGCUGCUGUCUGCAGGUGGCAUGCUGCCCUCCGCAGAAGUCUGUGCCUGGGUAUGGGCAGGGCAGCUGAGUGUAAACCUAUGGGCUGUGUGGAGCUGCCUCAUGCAGGAGGGAGAAACCUCACUGGGAAAGCAGGGGUUGCUGUCACAUCUGAAACUGCCUCAAGUGUACAUGCUGCUGCUUUUGAGAAUCGCUCAGUUGAUGUAGAUAUCUCUGCUGUACAUUCAGCCUUCUCACCAGAGGCAAUAGGGACAGGCAAACGUGAAUAUGUGGAGCUGCAGAUACAUGAGGCUAUGUACAGAGCCAAUUUAACUUGCUCUGUGGACUGACAAUCUGUAGUUGGUGACUGGAGUGGAAGAAAAGCACUCACAGUGAGACUAUGUGGGAGAGAAGAAGAUAACCCAGUCCUUCCCAUCCCAUCCCCCAACAUGAGAAGGUUUUAUCUGUGUGGGAAGGUGAAAAGUUUUGUGCCAAAGCUGGUUGUUGCAUUUUUUUUAUCCAUAAUGCAAGAAAGCAGCUACAGUAGUGCAGCUGAUAGCCAUCCUCUUUGGAAUUACUGUUGUUCUUUAAUGAGCACAGCUAACAAAGGCUUUAUUUUCUAUCUCACUGUGUAAACAGCACAUGCUGGUACAAUGCCCUGACAUGUAAUUCUGCUCUUGGGGCACUGGCUCAUUAUAGGCUUGUAGUCAAGAGUACAAGCUGCAAAAUUGGGACUAUCAGUUUGGGGGGGUUCUGCUUAUGAAGAAGUGAAAUUGCUUCUGACAGGUUCUUGACAAUACCAGGCAAAGUAGUCACAGGUGGGCCAAUAGUCACACAGAAAGAAAAGCUGAAAUCAUUCUACUGGUGAAGGGGCUCUCUGGCUAUGCAGCACUCCUCCUCAAGAGGCAGCCUAGGUCCAAGAGAUGCCCUCUCUUCAGUAGCUAGCCCUCAUGUAAGCCCAGCAUUGCUCCACCUUUUGUCCACCCCUUCUGGACACAUGGGGAACACAGGUGCAAACAAUCUGCCUGUGCUCCCUGGGCUAGCCACACCCCUUCACCAGGUGCUCAGUUCAAGUGGAGAAAUGGAGUUUUUCAACAGUAUUAGUCAGGGAGACAGGCAAGGUAUCUAGUGCAGAGACCUGCUGUUGAAGUGGUGGUUUUGGAGGAGAUACUCAAGUAAUCUCCUCCAGAAGCACAGCAACCUGUCAGGUGCUGAGUCAGAGCUCCAGGACAUGCCUUCCUGUCAUAACUGAUGGAUGGGAAUCUAAGGUAUGUUUUGUUUUUCCAUCUCCUGUUACAGCUGUUGUUCUGGGAGGAAAUUGUUGCUGUUGUGCUGUAUAUUUGGAGUCAGGACUUCUGCGAUUCCAUCUUUUGUGCUCUGUCCUCUGUCCUCCUCAGUAUUGUUCCUUACUCAAAUUUUAUUCUUCUAAGCAUCCUUCCACAAAACACAGCUGAAAUAUCCUGCCCUGAACCGCACAGUCCUUUUGGGGAGCUAAGUUCUGUGCUCUGUAUAAAUAGAGGGACAACUUUACAAGGGUGGAUAGCGAUAGGACAAGGGGGAAUGGUUUUAAACUGAGACAGGAGAUUUAGGUUGGAUAUUAGGAGGAAGUUUUUCAUGCAGAGGGUGGUGACGCACUGGAAUAGGUUGCCUAAGGAGGCUGUAGAUGCCUGGAGGUAUUCAAGGCCAGGCUGGAUGUGGCUCUGGGCAGCCUGGUCUGGUGGUUGGCGACCCUGCAAAUAGCAGGGGGGUUGAAACUCAAUGAUCAUUGUGGUCCUUUUCAACCCAGGUGAUUCUAUGAUUCUGUGAACUUCCUCAAAACAAGAUUCAGUUUAAUUUUAACAUUUGGGGAAAAUAGGAUGCAUGUAUUUAUUUAUUUUACACGCACACACAAAAAAAAAUGCUCUGUAAAUGUUAAUUUCUUCUGAGUACUUGCAUUCUUGGUGAAUUAAUCAUCCUUUUCCAAACUCACUUUUCCUUUAAGAUUAUGGUGGUUUUUUUGUUUGUUUUUUUGUUUUUGUUUUUGUCUCACUUUGCUAGCUGUAUUUAGAGGCUUUGACAAUAUCAGUUAGCUCACUGCUGUUUCAAAGGCAGGAUCUUAAGGCAAAUGGCAUCUUGCUGUUUCUGAAGAGCAAGCUUUUGUGUUAUCAGUAGCUAGUGUUUAUUUUCCUGCUUUAAUGCAGUUAGCCUCAUUUUGAAUUGACCCCAUGCUUUCAUACAGCGGUCUCCUUGACAAGAACCAUAUGAAUAGCACAUAAGGGAUUCUAUGGAUUCCCACAGAGUAGGACCACAGUCUUCAAACAAACGAACCCCUCCCUCACCGAAUACGAGUAAGAAAUGUCUGAAAAUUUGUCUCUUCUACUUGUUCUGCAUUCAUCUUCUGCAAAGUAUGCUGUAGUACAGAAAAUCUGCAAGAGCUUAAACAGGUCUCCAGCUGACUUCUUGAUCUCAGAGAUCUUUAUUUUAAUACUUCUUAUCCUUGAUUAUGAAAGUGUAAUGUAGAUGUAGUAGGAGUCUUAGGGAGCCUCUGAGAUGCAGAGCAAUCGUGUAGACGUUUGCUCACACAUUAAAGAAGUUAUCAUUUCUGUUUAUAAUAUUGUUUGUGCUCCAUGAAAUAUGAUAUUUAGUGGAGGCCUUUAAAGUUCUGUGCAUAUGCUGGUGUCAGUAACUUAAAUUUCUGUUGCCUCUUGUCUUGCAUAUGGUGAUAAUGAUACCAUGGAGGGAGGAUAACAACUUCUCCUCUUCUCUAGGUGUAUUGAUCUAUCACAGAUGUAGAAAUUGCUUUUCACACCUUUUACUUUUGUCUCUACACUGUUAUUUGACUUUUUCUUAGCAGUUAGAGACACAGUUUGCAGGAUAAACUCUUACUGAAAUAUAGGCAUACUGUAGACAUAUGUUUGCUCUGCGCACAAUUGUCCCCUUAUAGCACUGGUAAGUACCCAUGCUUAGAAUAGAAUAGAAAAGUUCAGUUGGAAGAGACUUUCAAAGAUCCUCAAGCUCAACUUCCUUACCUCAGGGCUAACCAGAAAUUGAAGCAUCUUAUUUAUUAAGUGCAUUGUCCAAAGGCCCCUUGAACACUGAGGGCAUAAACCACUUUGCUAGUAAGCCUGUUCCAGUGUCUGACCACCUCAUGGCAUGGAAAUGUUUCCUGCAGCCAAACCUGACCCUCCCCUGGCAGUGCUGUGCUGUUCCCGUUCUGCUAUCGGUUCCCAGGAGCAAAGCCCAGCACCUCCCUCUGCUUCCCCUCCUCAGGAGCUGCAGAGAGCAGUGAGGUCGCCUCUCGGCCUCCUCUACCCAAGACUGGGCAGCCCAGAGCCCUCAGCCUCUCCUCAUAGGACCUGCCUUCAUGUCCUGUUACUAAGUUCGUUGUCCUUGCCCUUGGAAGCCUUCAGACUAGGGCAACAUUAGUAUCCUUUUUACAUCCUGGGACCCAGUUUCUGCUUGUUUACAAAAUGUUGCUUAUGUUCUACAUUAGAAUUCAACUUGUGUCAUCUGCUUUUCUGAGUGGCUGCGGUUUAAUCAUUAAAUACACAGCAGAGGAGCAACUAACUAUUAUAAUUUGCCUGAGGAUGGAGUCUGCAUUGAAAAGCGUUUAGAGCCAAAAACUGUCUCCACUGACAUCAUGGGAAUUGCAGACCGGGCUACAAAAUGCCACUGAUCAUAAGGUCAUGUAAUAGAGAUUACUUAUCUGAAGUGCAGUCCUUAAAUCUCCUUAACUCCCCAGCCAGCUCUAGAACUGCAAAUUACAUUAUUUUGAUUUAACAUCUAAAGAAAAAAGAUUUCCUGUGAGCCUGCAGAUAAAAAAUUUGGGUGAGGAAAAAAGAGCAGCUGCAGCAAAGCUCUACUUAAUAAACCCAACAAGUCCCCGUUAGAUGGAAAAUCUUUUGGAUAUACAAAUGUAUGUAUAUAAAGCUAAACUUGAUGAGAAUGUUUAGCAAACUGGAUUUUGAGGAAAGCUGGGAAAUUUGUUUCACUACUUGAUCAUGCUUCUGGUUUUUGGUGGGUUUGGGUUGUGGAUUUUUUUCCAUCUCUUGAGAUAUAGCCAUUAAAAAAAAUACAUCCUUCUCCUAUAUUACAUUUUUAUCAACAUCCUCAGCUUACAGUAUCUAGAAGUCUAUUAUUUUAUAAAGAUAUAUAAAUAAUGUAGUAGUAAGCUAAAAUAAGAACUGUUAUUUAUCAACUUUCUAAGUGUUAUUGUUUUACAACACUGUACAUAGCAGGUGAUGGUUACAUCCCUUGAGUCUUACUCAUUUUGUGCUAUCUCCUUUCUCUCUUGUUCUUCUGAAUAUUGUUUAUCAGUCAAGCCUUUUUCUUUUUUUCUUCGGACUCCUCUGAGCUGUAUACAUAAUUUCAGAAUGCUGACGUUACCACAGGACAAGAAUCCUUAAUUUGGUCUCUUGGGAUGCUGUAGUGUGAGGAAAAACAAUUCCAUGCACACUUUAUGGUCUGUCCCAGCGGUGAAAGGCAGAUCUACUUCUCGAUGUGGCAGGGGCUGUAAAGUUAGUUCAGGUCUUAACUUCAUGUGUAUUUCUUUGCAUUUUUCCCUUCAAUAAUUAUCCCUAAAUUGAUAAGGAAAUUUAGGGUAUAAUCAAGUCUAUUCAUCGUUUUUAAAGAUGUGCUGUAUGUUCUGAUUUUGAGUACUUUGAUGGUAGGCCUUUCAAAAAAAGUCUUCAAAUAAUCACACCUUAGUCAUCUGUUCACGUGGAAGGCAGGUUACACUGCUAUGCUUGUUUAACCAAUAAGGCAGUGACAUAUCUAUAUUGAACAAUGGCAGUUUCAGUGGGCCCAUUUAAGUUAAAAAUGGUAGCUGCUGUGCUCAGCAUCCAUGAAAAUAGGAACAGUUUCAAAUUAUCUUCCAACAUGCUUAAAUCUUACAAAAGAGCUGAUCUUUAGACCUCUGGGGGUUAAAGGAGAGUCAGACCAAAGGCAGAAGUCAGUUUAAACGUGAGUGGAUCUUCUUUGUUGUUAACACGUUAGUUUAUAGUUUAGAAUUUUAAGCAUGUGCUCUUAAUAAAUUAUAAGAUAAAACAGAACAGCGAUAAGUUCGUGACAUUCUCAAUGUUUGCCAAAUAGCAAUCCGGCUGUAUGCUGCUUGCUGCUGUCCCUUUAAUCACCAGAGGUGUUAUUGGACAGACUGACCUUCAAAGAGAAGAAAGCAAGUGCACAAAAACAGCUGAGGUUUUGGCAAUAACAUCCACACUGUGUUUAGCUGCAGUACAGAAUAUUAUCUGUUGCAACUCCAAUGAGAAAGACAGAUGUAUGUUCUGUAUUACCAUUUUGGCUUUGUGCAUCUUAAGGGAUGUUUGGCUUCGUGCAUCUUCAUGCAUAUCAAACUGAAAGCAAAAUUGAGACACGUGAUUUUUUUAACCCUACGUAUUCCAUUUAUGAUGCACGCUACUACUGAAAUCAGGCCUGUAGUUUCUUACUAUAAUUAUAAUCUUGUAAAAAAAAAAAGUUUGCAGAUAUAUAUGUAAUACAGGCUUUGCUUAUUGAGCUAUUCUAUCUGUGGUCUAGUGUGGGAUCAGGGAAUUGUCAUUUUAGUCAGUAUUUUUUUUUGCUUUUGUAAAAAGCCACAAACCUGUUCAUUAGCUGAGCCAAACACUGAAAAGGUACCAUCUACGAAAAGCAAAAAUACCGUUUGCUUGGUGAUAAUUACUAGCGUUCAUUUUCUCACUUAAGUGAUAGAGCACGUCACACUGUUGCCAUAGCAACCCUGAUUCUAUCCCAUUAACUGCCUAAUGUGAAUUUAUGAAUGCAAGUUUCAACGUGUGGAAAAUAGCUGGAAAUAGGGUGUGAUUCAUCAUGUGCGGCACCGACAGCUGAGUUGCAAGCUAAGCCAGGGCAAUCUGAUUUGGUUUGCAGUAUUAAAGUGGUAUACUGGUUUGCAAAUAUCCAAUUAAAUAUGAACUAAUUUAAUAUUUAAUGAGUUUUUAAAUGAUAACUGAAUAGGUGUGUUAAAUUUUGAGGUGCUUGGUGCUGCAUUACAACAUUAAAAAAAAAAAACAAAACUAUUUUUUUAUUAGUGUUGCUGGAUACUGGCUCUGUAAUAAUGUUUUGAUGAAGACUUGAGGCAUUUCAAAGGUGUAUAUCCAUUUUGAGUUAGGUUGUUAAUGCUGAAUGUGCUCCUAGAUCCAGAGUUGUAAUGGGUUCAAAUCUUGAAGUUCUUGUGGAAUCCUAAUGAGCUUUUGAGUCAAAUGUUUAAGUCUAUUUCUUUAUAUUCUUUUCUCUUGUAAAAUAGGCACAAAGAAACCACCACCAACAAUACAAAAACAUUUUUCAUUUCAUUUCUCUACAUCAUAACUAUUCACUGUUGGUUCCUGUACCUUUUAAUUUUCACGUUGUGAUGAGUCUUAAUGCAUCAGCAGAGGUGUAGGAGUACUGUUCAUCUAAAAUAGCAAAUGUAUCUCUACCCACAGUCUGUCUGCUCAGUACCCAGUGUGGAGUGGCCAUGCCCCUCAUUAGCUGGGGCUCUGAUGGCUAUUUCAAAAUGAAUAGUACUGAAUGCUGAAAAAUUGCAUGAAGGAGAUGGCAUCACAAAUACAAUGCCAAUCAUUUAGAGACACAAUUGAGGUAGCUCAUGCAGUUCUUUUUUUUACAUCUGUGCAUUUGCAUUAUGGUACAGUCCUUUAUUGUAUGGUUAUAUAUUAUUGUAAGUGAUUUGUGUGAAGUCAAAGAUGUGCUGUAAUUCUUUCUCAGAAAAGCCCUAUUAGCCUAUUCACUGGCAAAUACAAAGGAACAAGAAUAACUGUUUAAGUUUACUGGGGAUAAAAGAAGUGCACCUCCUUUCAUGUUGGCUACCUUUCAGAAUUACAUUCUUACAACAGAAAUACUUGCUCAUUUUUUUUUUUUUAAUUUCACCAGAGUCAGAAUUCAUUUUCACAUUUUCCUUUACUGUACACUAUUAAAUCACAUGGAAUCAUUCAGUUGCAAAAGAAGAUUUCUGCUUCAUUGUAAUCCAGAAAUUUGCCUUUCAGGGUUGUUCUGUAUGGAACUGAAAGGCGCAUUAUUGCCUACAGGAAGGCUGCGGAGGGACUUUUUGUAGCAGCAGGAUGAGGGGAAAUGGUUUUAAACUGGAAGAGGGUAGAUUUAGACUAGAUAGUAGGAAGAAAAUCUUUACUGUGGGGGUGGUGAGACACUGGAACAGGUUGUCCAGAGAGGUUGUGAAUGCCCCCUCCCUGGAAGUACUUAAGGCCAGGCUGGGUGGGGCUGUGAGCAACCUGGUCCAGAGAGAGGUGUCCCUGCCUAUAGUAAGGGGUUCGAACCAGGUGAUCUUAAGGGUCCCUUCCAACACAAACCAUUUUAUGAUUAUGUGUGCUAUCAUGUCAUGAGUACAUUUGAUUGGAUACAUCUUACUCUCUUCCUCUUGUCAUUUUCUGUGAAGUUUCAUGGUUGUUGCACUACUCUUGUUUGUACCUAUCCAGCUCUUCCAGACAUUAUGGACUAUAAUAACGAGUCAAUGACGAAGAUCCCCUAACAUUACUAGUCUUCCAUAUAGGAUGGAAGACUUUGCUCAUAAUUCUGUAGGUACAAAAGUAUCAGUACUGAAGAAACAAAGACCUUUUGGGAGCUGAUGAUGACAUGAUUCAAUAUAUGUGUGGUGCUUCUAUAAAAGGAAACAAAUCAAAAUAACUCUUUAAAAAAAUCUAAAAUUCUUACAUGGAGGUUACAGAUAUGACCAAUAUCAUCAUUAAAGGUCUAAUAUGAACCUUGCUUAUAUAUUAGUAAUAUUCUAGUAGUUGUUGAUUUUAAUCAGAACAGAUACCUAUACAGUAAAUCUUUCGUAAUGAAUGUGAGAUAGGUAACUGAAGCAAUAAAAAUUGAUCUUCUACUAUCAGGAUAAGCAGGGGUACACUAUGUGGGGAACAAGUGUUGACUGAUAUUUAGCUCCAUGCAGAGAGGGAUCUGGAAGAUAUAAAAGUCCAUCUCUCUAGUAUUAAAUCCUCUUCUCCUGCAAUUGAGAAUGUGUCCCCUGUAUAUUUAAAAACAGAACCACAGCAAAAUGUUCUCAGAUCUCCAGCUGGUCUGGGUAUUUUUCUGUCCUGAAAGAUAAAGGUCCCUGGGUCUUUUGUUCAUUCAAGUGGGAAGAUGUAAACUGAAAAACAAGGAAUGUUUCUCUUUAUGGAAUCAUUUGACAAAGAAAAAGAAGAAAACAAAAUUACUUUGAUAUCGAUAGCAGCAAUAAGUUAUUAGGAAAACCACCAACUUGAUUCUUUUUGCUGGUUGGCUGUGACUAGUGAAACAAUCAUCAAGUUACCAGAGAAUAUAAAAAAUGGAUAUGUGAAAAUGGUAAUCUUAAUUCAUAAAGGAAGGAAGAACAUGCUAAUGACAAGCUGGUAUUGAGGGAGCAAUUGAGGGAUCUAGCUGUGCAACUGAGGGAGACGAUUGUGGGACAGAGUCUUCUGAAUAUCAAAGAAAUAUUGUACAACUGGAUGUUGGUCCAAAUUCUGAGAACCAGAAUGCACUUCAAACAGACAGAUACUAUGGGCUUACAAAGUAGUUUGUGUGAAACGCUAUGGUCUGGGCUUGUUGGAUUAACUGACAUUUGUAAUGCCUAAAGACAGAAUCAAGGAGAUUUGUUUCAGUGAGUACUAAUGUAAGAGAAAUUUGGAAUUUCAUGGAUAUUGAAACUAGUUAUGGAUCUAGCAUGGAUUGUAGGCAAAAAUUCAUUGUCAAAAAAGUAUUUUUCUUUAACUUCACUCAUUUUGAAAAAGGAAAAAUAAAGCAUUUCGUUUUAGGAAUAGUUGAACAGUUUAUAUUAGUUUACAUUUAAAUUUAAAAGCAUUGUCAAAAGUAAUUCUGCUAAUGAAACCAACAAAAUUGAUUGGCUCCAAGUCAUCCUAGAAAUAAGGCCUUCCCUACUUCUUUGGGUUUUCCAUUUUGCAGUAAAAUAAACAUUGGAAUAUAUCCCUUUUGAAGAAACCUCAGCUGAACUCAGUUUGACAGAUCCGUUUUUAUCACUUAUUUACUGGUUCAACCACUGAAUGAAAACAGGAUCUGUAUUUUGCUUUGCCCUUUAUGUCAACAUCCUGAAUCAUCCAGAGCUUUGAUGUAGAUGCUCCUAGACUUUCUACAUGAGAUGCCUUUGGGAUGCAAGAAAAAGACAAGUUUAAAUAGAAUAUAAGUUAAAGAAAAAAGUAGAUUUUAAAAAAGAGUUCAAAGUCAGUAUGACAGAAAACUGAACAAAAAAAAAAUAAUAGGUUUUUUUUUUUUUUCUGUCUGACCAUUUUGUUGUUUUAGGGUUCAGCUUCCAAACAUCCUUUCAGUUACCCUCGUCCAUUUUUGACAUUCAGCUGCAUUCCCUGCAGAUGCAGGAAGUUUCCCAGCAACUCUGACUCAUGUAGCUCCUUGUUCCAGCUCUGAUAUUCCUCUGUACUUCCAAAUUGCUUUCGCCUUCUUGAAGAAAUAUAUACUUGGGAUAUAUCACAGUUGAGCAGUGUUCACAAAUAAAAAAUAAACGAUUUUAUCGAAUAUAUAAUUCAGAUACAUAUAUAUCCAAUUUCUAUCUGUCAUGUCAUUACAUACCUCGUGAUCAGCUUCAGUGAAAAUGUAGUGAGCGGUAUCAAUGGAAAGGAUUUCUGAGCAAUGUGUUCCCUGGUGAUACAGUGGGUGGGAAGACUGCAGGUUUAGCUCAUUCCAGUAGCACUGCCUUGGCAAGCUGUUUUCAAUGACGUAGGAAAGGUCUUUUUUUCUUUGGUUCAUAAACUAGGAAUUAGCAGCAAAUAUUUUGAAACUGCAUCUUGCUGUCAGGUUAUGCAGUGAAAAUGUGUCACUGCUUAUGGGAUUAGAAAGUCAGAGAGUCUUAGGUGACUGCAUGGAUUUACCAGUGUUAAUUAGGAAGUGGUGUUUGUAUCUUUUGAAACUUGUUGGCACAAAGCACAUCAUGUCACUAGAACAUAUAUGGCAUGUUCAGGCACAUAUAUUUGUGUGUAGUGAUGUACAUAUGUGAUUGCUGACUUGGAGAAUUACUGCGCAUUUUUUCUUAAUGAAGAAAAGGUAAUGAGUUUGUGUAAAUUUAUUGACUUUGGAACAUGAAUUGUAAAGUUUAAUUCCAGAACACACAUGGAUAUCCAAAAUAUUUCAAAGGUUAACAAAGAAGUCGAAGGGAAACCCAUUAUUUAUACAAAGAAAAAGCAGCCCUUUGCUGCUAACUGGGUGGCUUUCUGAAACAUGUUGACCUCAUAGCUAACAUCUUGACUGCAGAUAGUUUAUAAUACAGAAACACGUGGAGUUGUUGAAAGUAUAUUGGAGUUGAAAAGGUGAGAGGGGAAGGAAAAGUAGGGCAUACUGUAAGAAAUGCCAGAGAAUUUCAAUUACUGGAAGUUUUGUGGAGUUGGUUAGCAAGAAUGUCUGCUAAGAACAUAUAUUUUCUGGGGCUUUUAUUAAUUUUGGUUAUUGGAAUCGACCUUAGGGGAAAAAUCAUUUAAAGAGUAGCUGAUACUAUCGAAGAGUGGCAAGUGAAUUAAUAACAUUUAGAGAACUUGUUUUGUGCUAAACGCUGCUGGGUAUAUGUGCAUAAUAUAAAAACUUGUGAAAGGCAUUGCAGUUGACUAGCAAACAUUUAGAAAAUUAUUUACUGUAUGUGGAAGACUUGACAGGAGUUUUCCUACAUAAUCUGCAUGAUUAAGAAUUUGAAUCUUGAAGUCUGAGGCCCAAAAUCUGUAAAACACCACACUCUGUUACUUAAUACAAUCUGAAAACGUUUUAAAACUUACUGGUAUAUUAAAUACUAUUCUGAGUAAGGAAAUACAUACCCAAGUACCUGCUUAUAAAGAUUGUAAUAAUCUGUCAAUGGUUGGUAUUAAGUUUAUAUUAGAGGCAUGGCUGUUAAAAGAAAAAAAAAAUGAUAUAUAUAUAUAUAUAUCUUUUAACACACAUACAUAUAUACAUAUAAAUAAAUAUAUAUAUAAUCUUUUUUUUUUCAACAUGGAAAAUGAUGCUUGUCUUUACAUUUGCUUGGUCUUUAAAAAGACCAAGAAAUGAAUUGCAUUCCCACUGAAUUGUUACUGAAGGCUAAGAAAUCAUUUACAUACGUAGAAUUUUUGUGAGGAUUAUUUUCUCACUUAUUCUUCCUAGUAUGGAUGUUAUCAUCAGUAGGGGCUAAACAAGGUUGUUCCACAGACAAGCAUAACAAUGGUGACCACUUUUAGGGACUGUUCUCAUCAGUUAACAUGAUCGGUGGAUUUAGAUCAUCCUCAGGAAACAGUAAAAGCUGUUUUUCAAAAUGACAUUUAUUUUUUCAUGAAAAUUAUUCCAAAUUACCUUGAUGCCCAUCAAUAAUGCUUCAAUUUUUCAACAAUUUAAAUGGAGCAUUUGUCUGUGAUUUUCAACAUUACAUUCUCCUGCUCUCAAUACUUUCAGCUAUUUGUAAAAACAAUGGAAAAAAAUCUUCCAGUUAAUUCAAAUAGUAUUAACAUUAAAUAGUAUGCAGAAAAUUGAGGAGAACAAGACAGGACAAUAUAGAGGUUGAGACUGGGAGACGGGGUAAGACAGCAAGGAACGGGAGAAGACUGUAUGGAACUGUCAGUGUGACAGGUUCAACAAGAGCUUUACACUUUACACUUAAUACAAUAAAUCACAUAGAAUCAUAGAGCCACCAAGGUUGUGAAGGCCCUCCAAGAUCAUUCAGUCCAACUGUCCACCUACUGCCAGUAUCUCUCACUAGACCAUGUCCCCCAGUACAGCAUCUAAACGUUUCUUGAACACCUCCAAGGAUGGUGACUCAACCACCUCCCUGGGCAGCCUGUUCCAGUGCCUGACCACUCUUUCAGAGAAUGAAUUUUUCCUUAUGUCCAACCUGAGCCCCCCCCCCCGGCACAACUUGAGGCCAUUCCCUCUAGUCCAGUUGUUAGUUAAGCGGGAGAAGAGGCCAACCCAUAACCUAACCCUAACCCUAAACAUCCUUUUAGGUAGUUGUAGGGAGCAGUAAGGUCUCCUUAGAGCCUCCUCUUCUCCACACUAAACAAUCCUCAGCCGCUCCUCGUGAAGCUUGUACUCCAGACUCCUCACCAGCUUUAUUGCCCUUCUCUGGACAUGCCCCAGGGCCGUCAUGUCUUUCUUGUAGCGUACUCAUUAUGACCUAUAUACGACUAAUCCUGAAGGUUUUUAUAUAAGGUGGCACUAGCAACACCCCAACCAAUACCUGCUGUGCGGUAGCCAGCCUAGGACUUGGUGAACUUGAAGCUUUGAAGGCGAAAAGUGAGAAGUGUGAGUGUUGAAGCUGAGAGCACCUCUUCCAUCAGACAGUACUCACAGUUCUUCCUUGGCCACUUUCAUACCUGAGUCUGGGUUUAGAGCUCCCUAGUUAAAGGGAAUACCUCUCUUCAAAACUAACUUAUUUUAACAUAUAUCUCUUAUUUUCAACCUCAAAUUGAAUCUUGAGAUGAGCUCGGAACAUUUUAGUUUAAUGUAUUACGGGCUAGCAUGUGUCCUAUAGAUAAUUAUCUUUUUAUUGAAAAGCUUGUACAAUAAUUUUAAAAUACAAUUAGUAAAUAAAAGGUUUUCUCAGAUAAUGGGUUUCCUGUGAUAAAACCAAGGAGAACCUUUGUCUCAGUGCUUUUUCAGCUCUCACCAAGUUUAUUUGUGUAUUAUGUGUCACACAGGCUAAGAUCUCCUUGGGGAUUUAUUCAGCUAGUGACCGUUAAUUGAAAAACUCAUUUCAGAUAAUCCUUGUGGAUGAAAUUAACCUCUUGAUUCUGAUGAAGUCAUACAUAACCAAUUUCAUUGUGAAGAUAUAUUCUAGGUUUAUUUUUAAAUGUCAGUUUGGGAUGCUUUUUUUUUCUUUUUUCAUUAGCUAUUAUACUAUACUUUUUUUUUUUUAAAGAAUAUUAUUGUUGCUCUAUUAAAAUAUAAGAAUAAUCAUACAGUUCUUUGUGGUCAUACUGCAUUACAAGCUUUAGAAGGACUAUAAAACUGUCCUUGCUGAUUUUCCAUGCUAACAAAACUAUUCCUAAGCCUGACUUGCAUAAUUCUUAAUCUGUUCUAAUUGCAACAUAAUCGCACAUUGUUUUGUCCUUCUAAUAAAUAUUUAGAAUUAAACCUAUAUAGGGAUCUUGUAUCUCUCUAGCAUAGGAGUAGUGUGUCUGUGAGGCUCCCUCUAAAAUCUGUAGGGAGGGAUGGUGUCCUGAAUCAGUUUACAAGCAGAUAAUUAUUUUGCAGAAGUGAGCAGCAGUACAUUCUCUUUCUCUUGCUAAAUAUUUAAAUAUUUUAAACGCUGUGCUGCAUGCAAACUCUAAUACUGUGUGCAUGGAUUAAGUCUUCAGCAUGCUGUCAGAUUUCUGCUCUUUAGUACCUUGCAGCCUUGAAGAUGAGAAGCCAACCAAAAUGGCUCUUUUGGUGUUCCAGAGUAUAUAUGCAUACCUAUACAUAAACCAGUAGCAAUCUAGUUGUCAUACAAUUUUUAUAUAAAAUUACAUGUUUACACAUAUGCUGUCAGAUUAAAAGACCUGAAUUAUCAAAUCAUCAGAAGUCAGAAAAAAGAAAACCAGCACUAGCUGAUGAUUCGUCUGAAAUCCAUUGCCUGAGCUUCCAAGCAUGAGACUGUGCUGAGAACCUGAUAACAUACUGUUUUCUCCAGCGUCCUGUAUCCCUCAAGGCACAGGAUGUAUUUACUACUUUCCUUGUGAUUUAUUCUCUGACAUUUAUCAUACAGCAGCUGAACAUUUCCCCUUACAAACUACCUUCAUAGUAUUUCUAGUGAGGCAAUUGGUUGCUUGGUUGGUUGGUUUUGGUUUAUUUGUUUUUACUGUUCUAUGGAUUAGCACCUAAAGGAGUUGAAGGUUAGUUUUUGGUAAUUUUAGAAGCCCAGCUAGAGAUGCUUUGGCCCUGAUUUUUAUUUUCUCAAGAUUUAGAGCUAUAUAGGAUCUUCUGAAUUUAGUGCACAUAUCUCACUGGCUUCCACUGCAGGUGUACCAGCUUAGCACAUCUACACAUCGGACCUUAGGACUUCCUGUAUACAUCCAAAAAGUGAGGGACAGGCAAUUAGUGAACAUGUGCAAAGGGUUUGAUUCUAUCUUGCAUGACAGGCAACAUACAGGAACUUUCUGGCACAGAAAGGAAUAAAAGGCAGUUCUCCAGCCCACACUGAACUCCUGUAAUCACAGCACUGCAUUUCCUCUUUUUGCAACUCCGUGCUAUAUUUGCUACCAUAGUCCAAUUUAGUCAUCAGAUGCUGCCAGAGAAAGUGAAAAUCAGUUUAUCUCUCAGAGUGUGCAUGUAAAGUGCACUUCAUCCUUGACCGUGCAUUAAGUGAUUUCAGUUCUCAGUGCCUGCGUAUCUUGGAGCUCCCGCAUACCCUUCACACACUACACUCAUGGUUAAGAAGUUUGUAUGCAGCAGCUUAACACGAUAUGAAAGUACAACCUUUUUUCCCCGUGUACCUAAAUCUUGAUUUUAAUGGAGAGUCAGUGUUAACCUCUAACAUCCUAGUAUAGUGCAUGCUUUUCUUUAGUAGGCUGUGUGCUGUUUUCUCUUGUGCUGGUAUUAUGAAGAUGUGGGUCUUGGUAGGGCUGAUGCAUUUCAGAAAGUUUGAGGGCUCAGGAGAAAAUUCUGCACAGUGUUUGAAUCUCUCAAGGUGUGUGGCUGCUCAGUGGGAGUGGGAGCAUCAAUUUCAACCUUGAUUUUAGUGUUCAAAAUUGAAUUUACCUCAUCAAAUGUGUAUAAUGACUUUGGGCAAAUUUUCACACUGAAAACAAGAAGUAGUUUUUAUGUUCAGGCUCAACUGUAAGUACUGUGGAGAUUUUUCCAGAAAUUAGAUUUUUUCUAAAUGAAACCUCAAAUUAUUUUAAUCAAAGACAACAACCCUACUGUGUAAUGCAGAAAGGAACAAGGAAGUCUUUAAUCCAAAUAGCUGAAUUUUGGUGAAAGUAGAAACUGCUGAAGUUGAGAUUUUCUAGCAAAGUUCAGGCAAUAUUAUUAUAUGGUGACAUCCCCAUGGUUUUAAUCAAGCUUAAUUUCAAACAGAAACUUCUGUGAGCAAGACUGUGUCUGAAGAGAGAAUGACCCAAUCUGAGUCAUUAUAACCAGAUAUUAUAUUGACCCAAAAUGUAGUGCUGUGUCAUUUGAAUCAGAAGCAGAUGGAAUAACCCAGAAUCAUCUCCUUACUGGUAUGUACUGGUGCUGCCUGCACAGAAGCACCUGGAAAACAGAGAAUUUCUGCUUAAGUUCAAGUAUUAAUAUACACCAAUGUGGUCGUGGGCUGCAGGGAUGAUAUGGUAUAGCACUGUACGCUACCACCAGCAUGAUAUCUAGUUAAAAAUGUACAAAAAUUGUCCUUUUAAUUUUAUUACACUCUUAUAGAGAAAAGGCUGAUAUAAUAGUGGAAAGUAUGGUCUCUCUGGAAACAGUUUCUCUCCACGUAGGUUAAAAUAGGAGAGACUUUUGCUUAUGAUCCCCUAGCAAGAAGAAUUUGGACCACUUACAAGAAGAAAAACUAGUAAAAAAUAUUAUCAAGUAGAUUACUAUUGUCAAUGAUAUAUAUCUGAAUUACCUGAGACUUCAUUAUCCUCAUUAUCUUCAGGGCUUGUAAGAAAGCUGUAGGUGAAUUAUCCUACCCUUUCUCCAAGAAUAAAAAGGGAUCAUGGUGCUCUUGACACAUAAUGGUUUUGAUUUUGUGGGAAGUAAGGAAGACAUCUCCUUUCUUUUUGUCAUGAAAGAUUGUUGCAUUCCCAACUUGCUAGCACUGAGAAGAUAAUGUGAGCCUCCCAUCAGCAAGCUCAAUUAGAGGGGUUAUUCUGCUCCCAUACCAACUGUAACUGUGAGGGGCAACCUCAUUAGCGCAUGGCCUGCUGAAUACAGACAAUAUUUUUGCCUUUUCAAGCUGGAAUGCAUUUUUGCUGAUAACGUAUUCCUAGCAAUUAUGUUUUCCCCCAUCAAUGUUAUAUGUGUCUAGGGCUUUGGAAUAUGGGCUCUUCUUUAUGUCUGUCGCUGUUGAAAAUAUUUGGAAGAAAUAUAACACACCAGCCUCCAGCUCAUGCGUGGCUGUUGGCAAAAUCCCUACCAGUCAGCUUGCACUGGCAAUACACUGAGAAAUGCAUUGUAGGUGCCUGUUCAAGUGUUUCAGUGCUGAGGAUGUAAUUCAAGCGUUUUGAGCACCCUCCUGCUAUUGAAAAUGGAAACGUUUCUUUGUAACUUGGACUUCAGAAAUGACAGCAGCGUUCUCUACAAGCACCUGAUUUACAAACAAAAACAGACAAACAACAACCAAAAACCAUGGUGAGAAACACUUAUAGACAGAUCUGUUUGUUAACUUUCUCUUAUUCCUGACAGCAAUGUUUUAAAUUGAAGAACAUGUUGACAGAAGAAUGUAUGCUUGCAAAACACAGAAAAAUAGAGGAAAUAGAAAUCCUUAGAAUUAGCUGUUCUAAGCUCUUCUCGGUAUGAAUAUGAUAAAGAAGAUUUUCUUGCAACGGAGAUAAUAAAUUAUUUUGUUUCUAUUAUUUGAUUUAAUGUGCUCUUUAACAUUUUCUUUUAACCAAAGUGGCAGAAAGUGGUCUUCACAGAGCUAAUUCAAUUAAAUAAUAAGUCCUUCUUAGUGGAUUAGAGAAAUGAGGAAAGUUGAGUAUUUCAGGAGGGAAAAGAAAAGCAAAUAUUAUCAACAUCAUAAUUAAUGCAUAAACCACAGGAAAUGUUAUUAUGAAGUUUAUGUAAUUAUAUGAUCCAUAUGCAGUUUCCCUACGAGUAAUCUGAAGAGUAUUUUCAUAGCAGCAAUCAUCCAUUUUUCUGAGCUGCUGUAGGACCAGUUUUGCUACAAGGGGUAUUCUGGAGACCCCUCCCUUGUAGAAUAAAGGACAGCAGAUGUACUCAGUUUGCUCUGUUUUGGCUUUUUUUUCUUUUCCUGUGGUGGAAACUUAGUGUAUAGCUGUUUUAAGCUACUAAUAAAUUAAUUACAAAUGAGAAACUUCAGCAUUGAUUUUUACCUGUUCAAGCUACCAUCUAAUAACAGAAUCAUAGAAUCACUCAGGUUGGAAAAGACCUUAAAGAUCAUCGAGUCCAACCAUGACCUAACCAUACUACCCUAACUAACAACCCUCUGCUAAAUCAUGUCCCUGAGCAGGGAAUGUAUUUUAUGGAAUAUGUUAUUUUUAUAUCUCUGUAUAAUAUUAUAUAUUUAUAUUACAUGUUUAUGGAACAUAUAUAUUCAAAAGAAACACUUUAUAAGAAAAUACCCCUUACCUUUCCAUCCUCUUAAACCAUUAAUUCCUUGAGGUUUAUUAUGUUGUUUUUGUACUUAGGCAGUGACAUAGCUAACUUGAUCUCAGAUGUGUAAAAGUUAGGCUUCUAGUCUGCAUUGCUCAUUGUCCAUAUUGCAAAGAUGGACACAGAAAGAUAGAAAUCCUUGGACAGUGUUUUGCUCUCCUUCCCUCUUUCCAUUAAUUUUAAGAAAAGCUCAAGCACAGAUGCUAGAUUUUUAGGUGGCUGAAAUUUGAUUAAAUGAUGCUGUGAUUAGUGCUGGGCUCUCCACAUUGGUGUUUUCCACUUUUCCUACUCAGCCUGGGGGAACGUUGAGUAGAAGCAACAUGCUGCACUUUAUCUUUCCAGAACAGACCACUUCCCGUGAGGAUUUUGGGCCAAACAGAACAGUUUCCAAGUGCUGUAUUCAAAAUUUCUUAUGAUGCUCAGCCUUAUUUUGAAUUUUGCUUGGUCUGGUUUUGCUUAUGUAGCAGAGCUGAUGGCAUCUGCUGGGAUGGUUUACAGACUGCAGUUUUCUGUCUUCAUCUAGAAUCAAUAUGAACACCAUAAAAAAGAUGCUGUGGGUUAUUAAAAUCAUUUUAACAACAUUGUUGACUCAACAAGAGCAAGAAGAUAAUGCCUAAGGAUUCUGAAUUUUUCACUGUUUUUUUUUUUUACUGGAAAAAUAAUAACUUGGUUCAGGCACAUUUGCUUGAGUGCUGUUUUUUUUUUUUAAUAACUGAGCCUGCUGCUUCACUGUUGUAGCUCACAGUGGAUUAUAAGCCUGGUUGUUAUACUACUUUACUCUCUGUGAAUCUUGUUAACAAGGUGACUAUGCAUUUUGUAAGGAAAUAAGUAAUGACUGUAUUAAAAUACAGACCAAGCAUUUUUUUGAGAAAAUGGGGCUUGCCUUUCUUGUCUGGUCCUUUGUGGUUCAAAAUCUUACCCAACAGUGUAUGACUUUCUAGAAUAAAAUACAAAUUCCAUACUAUGGUCAUUAAGACCUCCAAAAUGGAAACCUGGGUGGCUUAAGAAUUAGUUUGAGAUAUUUUCCAAUGAGCAUAUCCUUUGAAAAAGCGUUAUUGAGACAGAAGUUCUUCCUGAGAAAAUAUUCCUCUUGCUGUGUGGAAGGGACGAGUCAUUCUCUGAAAAGGUAUCUUGUCUGAAGCAGUUGGUGGGAGAUUACUGAGUGCUGCUUCUGCCUCUUUUGGGUUAUGGAGGGCAGUCCCUGAAGGUAACAUUGCCACCUUGGGCUCCAGUGUUGUAAGUGUUCAUGUAGGAAGUUCUGCCAAGAAAAUUAUUACCUAACCCUUGAAAGCUGCUUGUUACCUUUAGAACAGGGAGACCAAACUCUGAUGCUCUUCUCAAAGCAGAGGAAUUUAGCCUUUUUCACAUACAGUAGAACUAUAUCUCACUACAUUGAGAUUUUCUUACUCUAAGGUUGUUUCUUCUGAAUGGUGACUUUGAGAAACUGUUCCUCAGUGAAUGGCUGCAAAGUCUCUCUAAUAGCUGUUCUGUUUCUGAUCUGUCUGUAAUUUAAAGAUACUUUUUUUUUUUUUUUAGAAGUAUUUAAAUCUGUUUUAAAUAGUAAGAAAAUCGUGAGCUUUUGUUAUUUUUCUGUUUUGGGGUAAUUAAGAGAAGAGUUCUGCAUUACUGCUAAGAAGGUUGGGAUGACUGCUAGUGAAGUACUCACGAGGGAGUUACUAAUCCAUUAAUGUGCCGUCCAUUUUUCUUCUGUUGGUCCUUUUUUCACUUGAGUGCUUGAGACAGUCUGCCCCUGUGUCACUUAAAUAAGUGGUAUGUUUUAUUCAUUCUCUUAAAGAACAGAUGUUAUGGUUACUCUCCUAUGUAAAGAGUGGUGGAGUGGUGAUGUUUAAACAGUUUUUAUGAUAAUGGAGAUGUUUAGUCAUGUUUAUGUGAUUAGGGAGAUAAUACAUGCCCUCUAUUCUGUAACUUGAGACAAGUUAUGGUCAUGUGUGAAACAGCAAGUGCCAUAUAACGUUAAUUGUCUUCACUUGCUGUAGUUAUGGGAAGUCAUUUCAGAGUUCUUGCUCAUUUUUGCUUUAGAGGAGGUUGACCUGUGAUUCUGGCCAUAUAUUUUGUUUGCCAAAUGGAAGAAUUGCUCUCAUUCCCAAAUACUUCAGCCUAAUAACCUGGCUUUAAUAUUUGACUUUAAAUUGAAUCUUGUUCCCACUGCUGAAAAUAGUGGUUAGCUAAGUUACAGAUACAAUACUUAAUCCUCUCUUCUUUGAAAACUGCGGUAAACUGUCUUUCAACAUGGCUUUGCUUUGUAGAUAAAGGGAAAGGAGCGCGCCCAAAUGCUGUCUGCAGCAAGAAAAUCUGUUCUGUCGUUGCUAUUAUGCUCUGGGAGCUUCUGCACCUCUUGUUGUGGCCUCAGGUCAGCCAAAGGCUUGCAGGAUUGCUUACAUCUAGUUUCAGCAAAGCAUUCAAUUGUGUGCUUAACAUUAAAUUCAGCAGGACUUUUACACACACUUAACUUCAGCGCUUGCCAUUAUCAGUAAGAGUGGUUUGCUCCAUUGGGAUUACAGGAAGGAAAAACAGAUUAUCCCGGUGAGGUGGAUAUCUGUGGAUGCCUGUAUUUGUACCAACAUCAAAGGAAUCUUUUUUUCAACUCUGGAGCACUCACAUCAAAACCACAAUGCUUCCUUUGCAAUCAUGCAGUUAGCAAAGGAAAGAAAGCAAGCUCUUACCUCCCUCUGAAAACAGCCCACAUAAUUCCACAUCCCAGCUGCUCCAUCAGGAUGAGGAAGGGCACCUGGAACUGCCCCAUCUCCCCUUGAUGUUGCCAAAGAGGGGUGGAGAGGAAAGGUUUGUUUCUGUGGAAGGAAGUCUGUGAAGAUCCACCUGCCCUGCUGUUUGAGUCCCCCUUUUUCUAUUCUCCCCUUGGAAAAAGUCAUGUCUCCUCACUGUAUCUGUCUUUUCUCAUUCACUAGUUUCCAGUUAAUCACCCAGUGCCUGACCAUUCCUCUACUCAACUUUGGCAGGAUAGAACCUGCUACUUCCAUUUUUGACACAAAAUUCAUAUUAAUAAGAGCCAAGCCUAUACUGACUAACAGUCUAAUGCUAAUCCAGAUAUACUGCCACAUUUUUGCUUAGGAUCCACCUGAGAUACUGUGUUACUUGGCACCCACAGAGCAUGGGAUUUCACAGUUGUAUUGAUUUCUGACACAGUACUUCAUUAAAGUCACCAAAAGAAGAUGGGGUAGGGGAAAUAUAGAACAGACCUACUAGCAAAUUAACAAUUGGAUGGAAGCAUGUGAUCAUCCUUUAUGAUAGAUAUGGGCUACCAGCUGAUUCAUGUAUCUGUGUCGAUCAUGUGUGAGCUAGGUCUGUAAAAGGGAAUUACAUUCAGUUGACAGAAGUCUGCAUGUGAUACAACAUUAUAUAUUGAUAGUCCUUGUUUGUUAACUUAUUUUCUUUUCAUUUGCCACUGUUAUAAGAGGAGCAUUUAAAUGCAUAAGAUUUAUUCAUAGUAGCAGUAAUGUUAGCCUUUCUAGCCUUUAUGAGUAUUCACUUGAUUGAAGCCUGGAAAAGCCUCAUGCUCUAAUUAGAGACUCUCUGCAUUAGAAUUCAGAUCUGUUGCAGUCCACGUUUUGAAGGCCAGUUCUUCAGAAAUGAUACCCAAGCUAACAUUUUUCCCAACGAACCACACUAUAUUACUACAUAGAGAGAUCUCAGGGGCAAAUUUUCCAUUUGUUUGCAGUACUGUGUGGAGUAGGCUUGAGUUCUGGACAGACUGGCACCAGAAGGCUGGAAGGAAUUCAGAGAAAUCCAUCAGUGAUGAUUAAAGAUUUAGAUUUCACAAAGACAUUUUAAAAACUAAUUAUAUAGAAUUUGUCUGGAGGAUUAAGUAACAGUAUGCCAGUGGAGAAUUAUUCUCACAGGAGAAAGCUAAUUUCUGUUCCUAAAUAAAUAAGUAAAUAAAUAGUACUAAACCUUUGCUUUGCUAGUCUAUAGAAAUUGCAUGCUGGAGGACAGUAUAAUUUGUAGCCGGCAGUGUCCUUGUCUAUGUUAUGUUACAUGAUCAGCUUAUUGUUACUUAAUGUAUAGCUGUGUUCUCAUCCCAAUUACUGUUUUACACUUCUCUUCCAAAUUUUGAGUGAAGCUGAUGGUUAAUUAGCCAUUCAGCAUACACUAUGAUUGCCCACUGGGUGCUUCAGAGCCAUCAAAUGACUAGACAGCCAAUUUAGUAGAGUUUGAAGCAAUCAGUGGGAAUGUGGAAGGUGGAGUCCCUCAAACCUUGCAGUUUUUGGUCGGGAAAGGAAAAACGGAAUUACUCUGUGCAGUUGUUAAACAUCUCUAGCAUAACAGGGCUUGAUUCUGAUUAGAUGUCUGACUACUCAGAAGCAUUGAGUGGCUGUGCUGGUUUUUGGUGGAUUAGCUCAAGUACAUGGGAUCUUGAAAAUAAUAGUGCAAUCACAUGCUUGGAAAAUAAGAGAACAGUAUCUGCUUCUGUCAGGAAGAGCCUACAGAAAGUAGAUAUAACGUCCUAUGUGUGUGUAACAUUUGUGUGUGUAGUAUGUACGACCAACUUCAACGGUCAUAAUAGGAAUGUACAUCUUUAUUUCUGUUCAGCACUCUGAAAUUGCUGAGCCAUAAAUUUGCAUUUUCUAGGCUUUUUCGCAGUGAGAAAUGAUUGGGAGUAAUUUCUGUUAAAAAUAUCUUACACAUGCAAGUAUUUUCACAGAUAAAACAUCGUGUAGUUGCUCAGAGGUGCAGAAAAGGCAGCGUGGUUUUGUUGAUCAUACUUGGAUCUGUGUAUUAAUUGAAUGUAUGAUUAACUCUUUGGCAGAAAAAAACUGUUUGACAUCUGAAUGAUUUCUCAGGUACUUCUGGUUUGCAUGCUUCCCUCCUGUUCCUGUUGCCAUUUAAACUGAUCAUCCUUUGGUCUGUAUGAGGUUAAUUGAUACUUAAGGAUUAGACCACUAAUAAGCAACUGAUACAGACUUGUUUUAAGAUGCAGAAAAAUUCUGUACAUGUGUUUUUGUUUGUUGAUUUGUUUGUUUGUAUGCAGAAUGAGAGUGGCAGCAGAAUAUUGCAUGCUCAGGAUGUCAAAAUGUGAUUAUAUUCAUCACAGUCGUACUUUGGUUUCAAAAUCAGUGAAAUAUCAGGCAGGAAAAUAUUGUCAUCGUUACCAUGUAAGUGAGCAUUCUUAUCCUCCAAUAUAAAAUAUCUGGUGAAAUCAGUAAUCGAUUAAUACAAUUUUUAUUACACUUAGUAUAAUAAUUUUACUGAGCUUGUUUUGUACACCUUAUGCAUGAAUAGUAAUGGAAGUUUCCAUGUUUCUGACAAUUGGCUAUUGCUUAAUUUCAAGAGAUUCUUAUAAGAGAUGCUAAGGCCCAGAGCUUCCAUUAGGAUUCAUUUCACGCAUCUGGGUAGUCUUCUUGCCACAAUCUUCAGAUGUUUGUAUUGUCACUGGUACAAUUCCCUUGAAGCUAAAGUUGAAGAAAUCUUUAUUGAUAAGUCAACUCUGUUUGCCUUUUACCUUAACUGUAAGUAGAUGAAAACCUGUAUGUGCAUUUGUACACAUCUGAAUAUUUUAGGUCUGUGUUUCCUAGUUUAGAUGGAAUCCCAUGCACUAUGAAAUUCUCAGUCAUAAGCUUAGCAUAUAGCUGAGAAUUUUUAAUCAUGUGCCUCAGGUCAGCACUCUUUAUGCAGAAUACUUUGCUUAUUUGGUGAGAAGGAAGGCUGUUAUGUUUUCAAUUACUGAAAAUCAAAUAAGGACUGUAAGAAAAGGAUACUAAGAUAGCAUGGGGAAGUGAAAAACCCAGAGCACUGAACUUGAUGAUAAACCAUAAAUAAAUAAAUAAAUAGGAAAAAGCAAUGAAGAAAGAGCUCAGGUCCUAGAUGUUUUACAGAGAUUCCCAGUAACAUAUUAGGAAUAGCCUAACCCCUGUGUACAGAUACUACAUUCCCUCUUAAGCACUGCAGAUGUCCGUGAAAACAGGCGUGACUGGAAAACAAAAGCCAAUGAGGAGCUGUAACAGGAGCAUGGAACAAUCCAGUUUUUACUGGUUAAAUGAGUUAAAGCAUGAAAGAGAGAGCUGAAACCAUAAUAAGGUGAAAGACGUGCAUGAAAUGGCAAAGGAUAUUUUAGAAUGCUCACAAGUGAUGAGUGGGCUAAAUGUUCAAAUAGUUCAGAAGAAAUAACCUUUAGAAAUCCUCCUGGCUGACAUGAUUUACUGUUUUGUUUUGUUGUUGUUUUUUUUUUAAUCUGACCAAGAUAAUCCAUUCAGCAAGUCCUCAAUAAAUUGCAGUUAAAAUAAGCCCAUUUAAAUAAAGCCCAUUUAAAUAACAAGAUUAAGUUAGGAUAGUUUGAACAUUUUUUUUACAUCAAGCUGCAAGGUACUCUGAAUUUUGGAUUUUUCUGGCUGUUAUGAUAGUCAUUCAUGCCACCAGUAUCUCUGGAAGUCCACUAAUUAAAUACUCAUAUUGUGCAGUUCUUCAUCUCUGGAAAGCUCUGGAAACUCUUCUGGCAAUGUAUAGCUAUACAAAACCAUCUUCCUGUGAUUUGAAGUAGCGGUGUUUUGGAGAGAUGAAUCGAAAAGAAAUCAUAAAUCACACUUGAAGACUUGCUUCCUUUUGGCCUCUUAGAAUUUCCUAAAGUCAAAGAAGCCUCCACUUCCAAAUCUAACAAUCCAGUAGUACUGAGUAUACACAUGAUUAAAACCUUAAUAUCAAAUUCACUUUGUGAGAGAGUGAGAAACUAACAAAUAAUCCUGUUUUUUUUUUGGUCUUUUGAUCUCCAGAUCAAUGCUUAGCUGUCAGUGUGAGCUGCAUCUUAAAUAGACAAGGAGGACUUGAUCUAUCUACAGCAUCUGCUUUAGAUGAUAAAAGAGACAGUUUGACCUAGCUAGAAAGUGUUCCUGAGACACAGAAGAUGAAUAUUGUUUUAAUGGCCUGCAAAUUUAAGAACGAAAUACAAGUGAUCUGAAAUACUCUAUUGCCAUUGCUGUAAAUAAACAAUUAGCAGCUCAGGCUAAUGAAAUGGUUGUUCUUUGGAAAUUUGCAGUACUAAACAGCAGAUAUGCCAAGUGGAAGUUCUGUGCAUUACGCUUUACGUUCCCUUUGUGGAGUUAAAGGUUAAAAUAGUUUAGCUUUGUAUUGGAAAUUUAUGUAACCUCUCUUCUUACCAUCUCUAAAAGACUGCAGACUGACACUUUAUAUUGGUGAUUCUUAGCCUGUGUAUUGCUUUAGCUGAUUCAGUGGUGGUUGAAUUUCACUACAGUGCAUGGCUGGUUGUGGUACUCUUGUAUGCCUGUAAUUUAAAACGUAGAUGAUAGGUGGAAGGAUAUACUUGACAGAUAUAGAAAUAAUGUUUAGAUCUGUUACACCUAUUCAAUUCAACAUGAUUUUUAAAUGCUUCCUCUCUCUGAAGACUUUCCUUGUUUAUCAGAUACCCACCAUAUUUUACUUCCACGGUUACUCCCUUUUUCCAUCCCUGCUUUAUACUGGUAACUCUAUAUUUGCAUUUUCCUCCUCUUUAUAUUUACUGCUUGCUCAGACUGUCCCCUUAUAUUUAAAGAAGAAAUACAGCAACGCUGAACAGAACUCAAGUACCGCAUUUGAAUGUUUAAACUGAGGCAGUACUUUGGGAAACGUACCCAUUUUAACUCCCUCCAUUCAAUUAUUUACUUUAUUUUGUAGUCGUUCCACUUCCCUUUCUUCUUCUGAUAUGCUGUUCCAGCAUGUGUCACAAUUUACCUCAGGCACGACGGAAUUGCGAGCAGUCACCACGUUGACUUUGAGCUAUAAGACUGGAAGAAUGAAUUCCACCUGGGUGGUGGCUAGAUUGUGUUAAGGUGUUCGUAAAAGAGAGGAGAUAAUGUUUAUUAUUUUUUAUUAGGGUUUUUUUUAUGAGUAGGCCCAGCCUCAGAUAACAAGUCAACAGUGCUAAAUGUUACAGAAGCAGAAAACUAAGAUUUUGUGGCAUACUUGAAAAAUCAGGGUAGCAAACCAUUUUUUGUUUUAAGUCUUCAUCUGUAAUGUAGAAAACAGCUUUCUUUAACUGUGGCUUUAGAUUAUAAAUGUGACUGUGGAGAAACUGUCCCUCCAAAAUACAGAUAAUUAGGAUAGGAUGCUCCCCUUAUCCAAGCUCAUUAUAUUACUCUGCCAUAAAAGACCUCGCUGAGGUAGAGUUGCUGUAGCAUCUUUCCUUUUAUGAAGUCUGCAUUAAUUAAUCCAUAAAUGUAUAACUUCAUUUUUAGGUUGUCAGCUGUGUAUGUUUUUCAAGCUUUCCAAGCUCUCGUUCUUUUGUCUUUGAGUGAAAAUUUAUUCUUUCAGAGGUUGAGACAUUGUAAUGAGCUAGACUCAUUAACAAACCAUUGUAGCAUUGAAAUACAAACCUCUGGAUAAGGAGGUGCUCUACUUUGUUGCAAACGUCUGCAUGUUUGAACAGUGAGUGUUCAGUCAGGCUGUCCUCCACUUUCCAUUUCCUAACAAAUAAUUUAGUGUUUGUAUUACAUAAAAUAUCUUUGACAUCUUACCUACUAUCUGUGUCAACCAGUAUACAUGAAACAAAGGAUGAGAAAAAAUAAGAUAAUCUUCAGAUCUUGCAGUUGAUAGAAAUGUAAUUGCUUAUGCGAUCUUUCCACAUACUCCAAAUACACACUUGAGGAAAAAAUGUAGGUGGCCAUGUGCUCAAUUCUGACAAAACAGGGUUUUUUUAUAGGCCAGAAAUACCCAUUUUUUCUUUAUAUAUAUAUAUAUAUAAACCCACCAAAACUGAUAAAUCUCAUUCUGACUGAGGGACAUUACGUGGGGGUAUAACCGAAUACAUUGCUGCUGUACCCAUACAUGAAUACAGGAUGAAGUGACCUUUUGUUGCCCGCAAUUUCCAGCCAAAUCUGCAGAGCUGUGCUUGGAUAAGUGCAGAACCACAUGAAAUACUGAAACUGUAAAUAAAUAUUAGAAGAUAAAUUUAACUGAACAGAUAUUGGCCUAAAAAUAUAUCACUUAGAAUAUCCAUUAUUAUAGCCUAAGACCCAAUAAAUGCCUAAGUUCUUUGUUUGUAAAAUUAUUUCUUAUAAAAAAUUAUAACUGUGUCCUGCAUCACAAUAGAUACAUGUGCUGAUGCAGAAAAUUAGGUUAUACGUACUUUGUGCUUUCGUAGUUACUGUGGUUAAUGGAUAAAACUACUGAUUCACAGUAAAGAUUUAUUAAACGAGGUAAAGUAGUGACAACACAUUUAGUAGCCACAAAUUCAUGUUCCAAGUUAAACUCAAGUUGGUAUAGUGGAAGUGUCCACAAAGAAGGCAGAAAUCGAGUCUAAAAAUAUGGGAGUGGUGGGUUAGUGCAGAAGGUCUGUAAGCAAAAGAAAUAGAUGACAAGGCUAAAAGCAAGCAGAACUAAAGCAGAAAGAGCUUUCCAGGCUGUAGAUACUUUGGGAGUAUAAACUUCUAAGGGGAGAAAGAACUUAAAGCAGGAGUGUCCAGCCCGUGGCCCUGGACAGCAAGCAAUGUGGCCCCACACGAUCACAGACUUUUAACACUGUAUUGUGAUUUUUAACAAUAUUUUUCUAGAGUCAAUUGCACAUAGCUUGAGCGUGGACUGCAUGGGCAAUAGCAGAAUGCUGUGGAAGGGAGGGCUCAGUGCAGUGCGAACUCCACCUCUCGCGCUCACCACACACACUUCAACCUACCUACAGAAGUAUGUGCCCGUGGAGGCACAUGUUUUCUGUUAUUAAGAAAAUAUGUAUAUUUUCUUGGGCUUGUGUUAUUUUGUUAAAAUAAUUUGAUAAGUUAGCAUGUUCAUUAGUUUCACAAAAAUGAGGCCAAAUGUCCUGCAAGUUUUAUGUUGUUGUUGUCCUCUUUUUAUUAAUGUUUUAAUAAAUAGAUAAAUAUAGAUACAUAUAUAAUAAAUAAAUAUAUAUAUAUACAUAUAUACAUGUAAGUUUUGUUACUUACAUGCAUUAGCUAUGUUAUAUAGUUUAUAUAUGGCCCAAGACAAUUCUUCACACAGUGCGGCCUAGGGAAGCCGAAAGGUUGAACAUUUGUGACUUAAAGGGAACACCAAAAAGUAAACAGAAUCAUUGUAAUCUCCCAUGCACUUUUUAAAAAUAAAACUAAUGUAGUCCAAGUCUGGUCUAGACUGAAUAUAAAUUAAGAGACUUUUCUUCCAGCCUUUUAAUUUAGCUAGCAAACAGCUGUCCCACACUUAUCAUAAGUUUUGCAGCUCUCUUAUUUUUGUCCUCGACUGUCACCCCAUGGUCUUACUGAAUAACCACACACCCCCUACAGCAGGGCAUCGUGUGAAAAUACAGGUAGACAACUUGAAAGCUGAUUAAGAAUUUUAAUCCGUUUUAUUCACUCUUUCUUAUUUUCAAAAUAAUAUUUGAAGAUACAGCCUCAAGAUUCAUAAAACAUAAUGCUAAAGAUUAAGAACAGGCUAUAAGGUAACAAAAGCAGCUUUUUUCUUUUCUCUUAUAUAAAUUCUUCUUAGCUAGUUUUCUUAGCUAUUAUUAUUCAUCAUAUUUAAUUCCCAUUGUCCUUUUGAUAAUUUUUUUCCUUGUACUGUAAAAUGAAAAAUGAUGCAAGUUUCCACUCUAGAAUGCAUGGCAGUGCUAGAAACACAUCAUUUACUAACCAUGAGUAUUGAUUGAACUGCGGGGAAAUUAUUGCUUAAUUUAAAGAUGUGAAUGCUGUAGUUUGACCUGAUGACUAUAAAAUUCUCUGUCAAGUGUCAGACAUAUUACUAAUUAGAUAAAAUGGCCCACAGAAAUACUUUGAUGAUAGUCACAAUUUAGUAUGCUCCUGCAAAUGAAUUCUCAGACUGUAGUGUAAUUAACUUGUCAAUGUAUAAGUCUUUACACUUACUGCUUAGGGUAUUGUCUGGAAUUAUGAAAUAAAAUCUUGUUGUUGUAGGGCAACAGGAAUUCUACAUAGUGAAAAUAUUACCUAGAUGAGUUCAACAUUUUACGUCUUUGUAGUGCAAAGCGAUAAGUUACAAAUGGAUAUGAGAUCUCAAGAGCAACUUCAGGUUUAAAAACAAGGGAUGGACUACCAAGGCUAAGAAGUUUAGUAAUGUAUAAAUUCCCUUAUUAUUCCCAUUUCAGAUAUCUUAACUGGUUGUGCAUGAACAAUUCAGAAACUAUACUGAGUUUUUUUUUCUAUCUGUUGGGGACAUCUCCAUUAAAUAAUAUCAAUUUCCCCAUAUAUUUUAUAUUUCCACAAUAUGCAAUCCUGUAUUAUAUACACAUAUUUUAAAAAAAUCAUCAGAGUUGGUAUUAAAUUAAAUAAACGUGUACUAUAUAAUGAUCUGUAGAAAGUAAUGUGUAUGUUUGCCAUUACACAAGUUUGAGAAACAUAAUUUCUAUCGGAAGAUGUCUCCCUAUUAAAAUUAAAUGCAACAUAUUUUUCCGUACACAGAUGGAUUUUAUUCUGUAUUUCAUGCUGUAAGCAGUAUUUAAUUACUGAAAACAUGUUCAUCAGCUUACUAGUUUCUCAAUUGUCUCUUGCCCUCUUCACUUGGUUUCUUCCCUCCCAUCUCUCCUCCUCCAAAUGGUAAAAAUAAAUAAAGGAUGAGCUUCUGGUGUUUUCUAUAGAAAGUUAAGCUUUGCUGACAUUGACUAAUUUAUUUUACAGCUCACAUGCAUUUUGAAUUUAAAAUUUAAUCUGUUCAAAUCAGCUUGCAUUACCAGAGAAUUGUGCUUAGCAUGUUCCAUGAAUGAUUCAGUAGAUCUUAAUAGCUACCUUCGUAAUUUCUUAUGAAUCAUUGAAAGAGAUCACAUUAGUAAACAUUAGUGGUAAGUACUAAGCACGUUUUUCAUGCAAUCGUGUUUCAUGAAUGUAGUUGGUUCCAAAAUCUAUGUGUAGUUGUCAUGUGAAAAACUGCGUCUUGCAUCUUGUGUUUAUCGUGCUUGAAGAACACAGUGCUUGAUAUUUUUCCUUUCUUCAACUGAUCCGACUAGCCUGCUACUGCAGCACCCACAGCACAAUCACACAGGCUGCGAUACUCCAUGGACCAAAUGUAAAUGAUAUAAAUGUACCUCUUACUUCCAUAUAAAGCCUUUCUUCUAUUGGACUCACUUAUUUUUUAUAGUACUUCUGAAUUUCUGGGAAGACAAAUAUUUUUAAUAGCAAUUGGACAAAUCAAAAUAGCUCGUAGAAAUAACAAUUAUUAAGAGAGGUGGUUGUUUUGUAAACUUUAUGUCCCGGGGACAUUAAAAUAGCUCUUAAUUCAGCAGUAAGCUAGUGGAAUACUUUUUCUUAAUUAUGGUUCCCAUGAAUGUUUUAAUUAUGAAUGAAAAAUGCCAUUGUUCCUCGAGAGAUUAUAUUAUAUUGCAUGAUAUUAUUUAUUUAUUUCCAUCUGGAAAUAUUUAUUCUCCUCUUUUUUUUUUUUUAUUAUCUGCACGUUGAAAAGCUUCAUUAAACUUAAUAGUUGCAGUUAUUGUCUAUCACUUGUACUUACAAUCUUCCUUUUUGUUUUCAAUUUAUAUAAAUCCUAACACAGGCACCUUUUAAAAGUUGCAUUCAUUUAAGAAAGUUAUAUGGCACUAAGCAAGAAUAGGCUAGGUUUUAAUAUCAUAUAAUAUUCUGGUGUUUUCAUUAAACUGUUUCAAGUGUGACUCUUAUUAUAGCAUUGUUAUUGUAGUAACUGAACCUGUAGUCCACAAGUUUCUAAAUCAAUGGGUGGAUAAUAUAGAUUUGAAUUUAGGAAUGUCGGUGUAACUACUUACUUACCUUUUGUACCUUUCCUAUUCAGAAUAAUUGCAAUAUAAGUAGUGUUUCUCUUUAAAUUGUGAGAUGAAGGACCUGUAAUCCCUAACCCCUCAGAAACUGUUGCAUGCAGACCUCUGCAGAGCACUCAGAAUCAAGUGUGGUCAUCAGUCAUUAGCAAAAUCAGUCACACAUUGUUUUACUGACAGAGAGAUGUAACUUCACGCGAUAAGUUCAAAGUAUGGCAGUCCAAAGGGGUGGAGACAAGGUGCAUUUUUCUAAAAUUUAAAGCUGAUUUCCAUCGGUGUCAGAAAGUUUUAUCUAUACUUGUCUGUAACUGAAAUGAUCAAGUAACCCUUGUUGUGGUACCUCAAAAUUACUUAGCAUGCUUUUCACUACAGAGCAUGUUAAAACUCUGUCUACUGUAUUAUACUGUGGUGUAAUAAUAUAAAUAUAUUGCUAUAAAUAUCCACUAUUCAUUACAAUUCUACUUUGCAUUUUCUUUCUUUUAAUGCUAUAGCAUCCCAGAAUGCUGUGCAAUUGUGGUGUGCAGGAAUAACUGCAUAAAUGAUAAACAACCUGUCCAACAACCAAGGCAUCUGCUUUCUGAAGCAGGGAAGAUGAGUUGGAUCUUGAGCAGAAGACAUGGAUCUUCAGUAUAAUACAUUAGAUUCCUGUACAAAUAGGUACCAGCUUCAGGUGGACUGCAGACCUUUAAGGCAGCCUGCGGUAGAAUCUCCUUCUUUCCAGCGACCGUAGAGAGAUCACUGGGAGUUGUUCUAGUAGGACUUGUGUUUAUCAUCUUCUACCACUUGCUCAAAUAACUUGAUGCUCAGUUACCCUACUUGUUGCAGCACAACAGGAACAGAGACCUCCUUAUUUCACUUAGGCAAAUAUUAAUAACAGAAAGUCUGCGGAAGAGAGAGAGUAAGAAGCAGCCACUACAUAAAUGAUGCAGUGAGAUCAUGCAGCAGAGGUAGACUACAGCCAAUAGAUAAGGAAUAAUAAGGAAACUUUGCAUCUUUCAUCUACUGGAGUAAAUAAUAGGACUGACAACUGCCUCACUAUAUAUGGCUUUGAUUUUCAUCUUUGACAUUUUGUGAUAUGUUUGAUACAGACAGGACUCUCUUGUGGAAGCGCCGAACACUUAAAUCUGCAAAUUAAGUUCCUCAGAGAUAUGGUGGACAUUAAAUCUUAACAUUUUUUUAAAAAAGAGUAGGAUCUAAAUAUCCCAAGUUAGACACUAAGAAUCCGGGGAUUCAUUUUCUGUUGUCUUGGCUCUUACCAAUAAAUUAAUUUACCACCUCACAAAGAAAUGGAAUGCUAUCCAGUCCAUCCAGGGUAUUACUUAAAGUACACAUAACCAAGUUGACUGGAGGUGAGGCAAAAAUGUCUAAUUCUGACACUUCCCAAAAUUUCGAGUGUUUGCCCUUGCAACUGUGAUUCUUCAUAUUAUUUUUGCCUUUGGGAUGUUAUAUUAUGAAUAACUCAAAACAACAACAACAAAAUCUUAUUUAAAAGUGUUUAGAAAUUGUUAGAAAACACUUCUGCAUGUCAGGCAUGAAUUUUCCUCUUCAACAAGAGGUCAAAUUAAAUCCACAAGAAACAAAUUUGGUCUUAAUUUUGAGAUGUAAACAGUAAUUUAAGUAAAAUGUACCAUAUGUCUUUUGACAUUCAAGCAAGUCUUUCAUUUUCUAGAACAGAUCCAUUGUGUUCAGCUUAAGAACAGGUGCUAAAUUUCAACUUUAUUCGGGUAUUUCCUGAUUUCUUACUUCCUAUCAUAAUUCUGGUAUUAUAAAAAAAUAAAUAUUGUGUAGGUAUAUAAACAGGGUUAUAUUUAACUUUUUCUUUGGAAGGGUUAUAUCGGAGAACACUGAUUUACAAAGAUUGCUGCAAAAGCAGUGCCUCCUAUUUAUUUCAAUGGAAACUGCAACAGAUACAAAGAGCACAAUAACAGUAUUUGAUAGAGAAAAUUUUCAACUACAAAACUCGAAUGUUAAAAAACUGUAAAACAUAUUCCAGGAUUUUCAUCCAAUCAGAAUUCUUUGCCAAAUUUCACUUGAAAUCACAGGUAAUAUAGCUACGUCUAAAAAGGACAUUUUUAGUCAGAUUUACUCUCUGCCAAGAAAAUGUCUCUAUCUUUGCCAUUGUGUCCCAACGUUUAGCAGAAUUACAACUUUUAAGGCCAAGAAAAGAUUGUCUUCCUGUACUCUUCUAGGCCAUUGAGAAUGUGGGAUACCAUAGCUGAUUAAAAAAAUGACUUUGCAAUGUUAUCUAAGGUACAGCUAUCAUUAGUUUUGAUUACUGUAUAUAAAACUAAUCAGAAGUAGUGGUGAGAGAGCUUAUAUAUGCACAAACUUUUUUCACUGUUUCAAAUAUACUAAAGUAGGCAUGAAAGACAAAGGAGAAUUUUGGGGAAUUUUAAAGCCACAUUAAUUUUCAGAACAUAUGCUUUUUUCUGUUUGCUUUUAUUGACAAUGUUUCCUCCAGAACAAAAGAGCUGAUUGUGCAAAUGAUACUUUUGCAGGUAAUUAGUCUCUGACAUUUCUAUAGAUCAUAUUGGGAUUUUGCAAAUAGUUUGAAAUAAUUCAGCACCAAGUGUAGCUGUUUCAUUUCUUUUUUUUCAUGGAUCUAUUUCACAGUAAUAAUUUACAUGUUACAUUACCUGCAUGUAAAUUACGAUUUGUUUAAUUGGUAUGAGUACAGACAAUGUAGAAUUGAAUUGAACGCACCUGCUAAUUUUUCUCUCUCAUUCCAUCUUAUGUUUGCUCAUGAUUUUCACAUUGCUUUUAGGCAUUUUUGUAAUAUCAGGAAUAACUAGCACCUUACACUGCCCCUAAGUGUGCAGACUGCCACAUUCUCAGCUGAAAAAGCACUAUUUUUCAACAGUCAUCACCAUUAGCUCUGCACUUUCACUAGUGCACAAGAGCCUGUGUGUUGCACAGGUAAACGUGCACCAGCAGAGGUUACCCGCUGUCACUGUCACCACUGCUGAAAUAGACCACCCACAGCUUCACUGCACUCAAAUUCUCUCUUUGGUCUCCAGAGCCGUUCAGCAAGUGUUACUGAAUGUCAGUGGGUGCCAUUUUUUGCUCCUGAAGGAACUCAGUGACACACCUUUGAUCCAACCACACUUCCAUGUCAGAUGCCACUGUCAGACUGCCCCUCUGCUGCCAUCUGUCACACAGCAACAAAAUGUAAUGGAAUGUUGGUGGGAAGGUUCAACCUCUACUGCCAUACCACCACCAUCUGCCUCUGAUGUCAUGGGUCAACAUAAUAAAACAGGAGGCAUUAACUUUGGAGCAGCCCUCAUAGUAUGUUAUGAGAAGAGAAUAGAACAGCUACAGCCUUCAAAUUCUGAUGAUUAAAAUAUUGCAUAAAUCAAAUAAAGGCAUGUGUUUGAUUCCUGUUUCUAGUUACCCUGGCCAGUUACCCAAAUACUGCAUUAUUACCAGUGGAUCUCCUAUACUGCUAGGAAGGAAGGUGAAGUAAUGCCCCACUGUGUGGGCCAAAUAUAGCUCCUGCAUUUAGGGUGUUUGUCAGACUGUAGGUUGCAAAACAAGUGUGAGGGAUGUCUGUAUUAUGUCAGAUCUGGACAUCACAUCAUCAGAGCAUUUCAGCAUGCGUUUAAGUUCUUCUGAUGCAGCAGAAUGAAAGCUCCUCUAUCAGUUGAGUGCCUUGAGUCAUAACCCCUUCCUUUUGAACUCUUGGGGGCACAGGAAUAGAUGACAUUGCUCUGAGAAGCCUUGGUGCAAGAUUAGCUUCUCCUUGCAGGGUCUGUUGGUGCUGAGCCCUGCAGAGCCCUUCAGGAAUGGGUGCUGAACUUGUGGAGCAGUGCUGUACUGACAAUCAGAAUGCUCCCCUAAUGCUUUUAUCUAAUGUUUUUAUUGUUUUGCCUGUAUGUUGCUUAGGCCUUUGUUUUUCAUUUUCAGUCAGCUUUACUAUGGAUUACUAUAGCAAGAGCAGCAGCGCACUAGAUUUAAUUUAAUUUCUUUCUUUCAGGGAGGAGCAUGUGCAGCUAUCAGCCUGAGCUGCAGCUUGUAAGACAGUGUUACAAGGAGUCUGACCUUGGAAAAGUAUGUUCUUACGUCUCAUGUCUGAGAUUGAUGUUACUGAUAGGUAAUGAGCUGUGUGCUGCAUUUUCAAAGGAAUAACUCUCGAUGCAGAUAUUCACUUUAAAAAUGCCGCAUGUCACUCCUUUCACAGCUCACAGAGUUCAGAAAUAGAGAGGAGGUGUAAGGCUUGGAGAAGUGUAAUUAAAUUGUGAUUGUAUCCUCUUGUUGGAAGGAACACCAAGCUGUUAGCAAUUGAAAAUUAAUAUACCUUGCCAACUGUUUGCCCUGGAUGAAAGAGUUGGCAAUUGCGCUGUAGUUCUCAGUGACCAGGUAUCCCCAUGACACAUAUCAUGAUGACAGUGUAUACAAAUUGCCAAUAUAUUUUGGAUUCUCAGAGAAGAUGAAGCACAGCGAAAGAAUUUACUUUACUACAACACUACCGUUUGUCGUCUGUACUCAGCGUAGAUGAUAGAAGAUGUUGUUGAGGAAUUCUCAGCUGUUGCUCUCUUUUGAUCUUUUUGAACUGAUCUGUAAAGAGCUUCCUAGUUUUCAUAAUUGCUUAAUCAAUCUUGAUUAUAUUCCUGGACCACUCUUAUUUAUUCAAAAAAAUUGUUUUUGUAUGCCAUACAAGAUGUCUAUGAAACGUCAUUUCGCCUGAAGACACUACACUACUUUGUUGCUGGGCUAAUUAUUUACAGUCAUUUUGAAAACAAGGAGUCUUAUAAAAAAAAUAAAUCAGUUUCAUUACUGACUUCUGUUUGCUGAGCAGAGAUUGUAUCAUUGUAUUUUUCUCUGAAGAAAGCAUGCUUUAUUCAAACUUGACUUUUAUUAGCCUGUAGCAGCUAAGAAACAUUAAAAGCGCCGUUGAUGAAACUAAAAGAGCUGUUUCUUUAAAAGAAGAAAAAAAAAUGUAAGUAGGUCUGGAAGAGUAUUUAGAAGCAGAAAGAAGUUAAAAAAAAAAAAAAAAGAUUCAAUUAUUUGUAGAAAGCCUUUAGACUUAAGCAAGUCAAAUGCAUUUUAUGCUUUCAUCACAUGGACCCACAGCAGUAUAUCAUUUCAUAAACAGGUCCAGAGGUAAGCUUCUGAGUAACACGUAAUUCUGAUUUCAAGCCCUAUUAAGAGGAUUUGUAUCUGUAAUAUAAAAGUAGCUCUUUGAAGAAUCUUGAUGAAGAUCGUAUUGUAAUCUGUUCUAGGCAGAUUCAUAGAUUAACAAACAGCUUUGUUAUGGUGAUGGAUAACAGGCUCAGUAAGAUACACUAAGUCAGAAUAAUUCUAUCAGUAUAAAUAGAAACAGUAAAAGUACUUUAAGUGAACUAAAAAGCAGGAAUGUUUUUCUCCUAGUAGCGACUAGUUAGGUAUUUUUUCCUCAAGAAUAAUUGUGCUUAUAUUAAUUUAGAAUAAGAAACAUUGCCAAACCAUCUAUUGUAGUCUGAUACUUAGAUAUGCUGCCAGAAGUUCAUCAUUCAAAACAGCUUUUGGAACGUUCUUAAAUUUAGAAAGAGGGGCUUUCUUCUAUCUUUUCAGUUGUGAAUAGGCACAGGUGGGAAGGAGGCUCAAGUGGGAUUUGAGAUUUAUGAAGCCCGACUGCACAAGGCCAUUAAAAACUCAGUUGAUGUCACGAGUCAUGGUUGGACAAUUCAGUUACUGCCCAUGACCUUCCCCUACUAAUUUCAUCAGUUAUUUCUGCCCACAUUAGCAGAGAUUACAUCUCCAGCUAUAAAGGAAUGAUUACGUUUCCACAUCAUAUGGAAAAAAAUUGUGACAGAUGUCACAUUUUGGUACAUUCCAUAAGGAUCGGUGUCUAUACUUACAGAAUCAGGUGCAUAAAGUAAAAAGGAAAAUCUUUAUACCUAUUUAUACUAGAAAAUAAGUAAGUGUAUAAUUCUGGUGAUAUUUCAGUGUUACUACUAUUAUUUGUUUUAAGCGAUGCGUGCCAUUUUAUUUUACAAAACCCCGAAAAUGAGCGUCAGGUUUUAUGAAAGCAUUAUGUUUUGAAAUAUUUUCUUUCUUAAAUAAUUCUCCACUGUAAGUAAGGCGUAUAAUAAAUCGUGAUUUAUACUGAAGGCAAUUCUUUUUUAAGACAGUAUGAAGAAAAUGGCUUCUAUCGUUUGAAGCAACUAUUAGUUUUGCAUUUUCGUUUUGUGAUUGUUUCAGCUUUGCAUGAUGAUAAUGUUGAGACUCUUCCUUCACUACUGUCAAUAUCUUGGAAUGAUAUAUGAGGACACAUUAACUUUUCUUAAAUAAUUCCAGUAUUUUGCAGGUGGCCUUUGUGCAUUUACGCGAGUCCCUUGACUGCGUGUGGCAUCUGCCAUCUUCUGGAUUUUGUCGAAAUUGCUUGCUGCCUAAAUGAGCUUUAAAAUACUGGGAGUGUGGUUUCUUCAUCUAUGUAUCUAUUGCAGAAAAUGAGUACAGUUGAUGUCUACACACAGGCUAGCGUAUCAGGGGAAGUAGCCCUCAUUUCUUCACCUCAUUGUAGUGGUGUACAGUGCUUUUAUUUUUAUGGUCUGGUGAGGUCUUAAGCAGUAUUUCUGUGUCCUGCAUCAUUUUAACUAAUAGAUUUUUUUGCUGCAAAAUAGUUUUGCAUUUUGACUAGGCCAUGAAAAGCAACACAGGGGAUUAAAACAGUAAGCUACCAAAAUGAAUAAAUAAAUUAAAAAUUGAGAAACAUACACAGAGUUGUUUAAAUGGGAGAAAUGUACACAUUACGGAAGAAUCAGAGAUGUGGUAUGAAUGUUUUUGAAGCUAGUAAUUUCAAGCAGUUAAAUAGUCUUGAAAAAGUGCUCAGAUGUUCUGUGUGCCUGAUGACAUGAAGGGAAGUGAAGUUUGAGUUACUGACUCUAAAAAUGAGUUAUGACCCCUGUCAAGGCCCCGUAAUUUCAGUGCCCUUCAGUCCCUGUCACAAUUCCGUCUCACUUCUACAUGCAUUAAUGUGCAAUAACCUUUUCCAAAAUAGAAGUACUCCCAGGCUUGUACACUCUCCUUGGCUUCACAGUCCUCUCUUGCUGCUCAAGUCUUGCUACUUCCACUUUACAGCUCAGUCUGAAACCUAAAAAAUGACCAUAUGCUGCUUUGUUGGUUUAAAAUGGCAAGUAAGAAUGAUUUAAUAUGUGCAAGAAUACUUGAACCUGGUUUUAAAAUUAGGCUCCUGCUUAAUUACAGCUUGCAGUAGAAAAAUAAAAUUUUCCUGUACGGAACACCCUCAAUAUUUCACCUUAUGUAAAUGAUAUAUCUUGCUACUUCAGCCUUUUGCUUAUUUUUGUUUAUUAUUAUUAGCAGGUUUAAUUUGAUCUUUUGUCUGUUUUCCAUUAUGAGCUGUUUCCUUUAAUGAGAUUUGAGUUCUAAAUGGGAUUUUAGAUUUUAUGCAUGAAUUAUACACAAGCUUCAAGAUAACUGGAAGAUCAUUUUCUUUAGGUCUGAUGAUGCUAUAGGGAAGUCUGGAGGUUAUAGCAGAGCUUGCAUUUUGAUGUGACACAAGAGAAAUUUCAAGUAGAAAUGCAUGAAAAUGAUGUCAAAUCUCAAAUCUGUCCCUUCAGAUAUUCUUUCUGCACUUGCUGUUUCUCUUCAAGUAGUGCUCUCUGCAGGCUGUCAAAGUCCUCAUGGCAGCCAGCAAUUACUUCUUUUAACUCUUUUCCAAAAUAUGUUUUCCCUGGAGAAUGUCAGCUUCCAGUUCAGAAAGGCAAACUGCUUUUUUUCUCAAUUCCCUGAUGGCAACGUGCUGGCUGAUGAGCUGAAGGAUUUUUACACCCUAUUAGCUGCAAAAGAAGGAAAAAAACCUCUGCUCUUGAGAUUUGUCUAAGUGAACUCAGCUUAAUUUUUUUUUUUUUAAUGCAAAAUAGAAUCCUAAUGAAAGAGCAAGAGCCUUAAAGCCACACUAUGUGGGUCUCUGUUAGUAUAACCUUUUAAAGCCUCUAGAUAUACAUACUGAAUGAAGCAUGAGAUGGAAGGAAAAAGAUGAAAAAAUAGAAUAGUAGCUUUAAAAUGAUUGGUGUGUAAUUAGAGCAGAACAAGUAACUAAAUGAAAAGCCUCUCUCAGCAGUUCAUUUUAGGCCAUGGAGGCACUUGAGGAGGUUAUAAACUGAAUCAGUGAGAAAAUUAAGCAUUGUUCCAUGAACACAGAAUUGAAGUAAAUAUCAUAAGGCAAAACAGUAUUCAAGUCAGCUUACAAAGCCCAUCCUAGGCGAAAUACUCCCUUCAGUUUUCGCAACUUCAGAGAUGUGGUCCUAUAGAACUUCUCUCCUCAGUCUUUGUAUAGAUUCCUUAUGCUUUAAACCAACUAGAAUGUAAAACAUCCUCAGCCAAUUGAACAGAAAAGUCUGCAGCACAUCCCUUUUCUCUAACAUGCCAUUCAAUUAUGUGUCUGCUUCUCAAAUGCUACAGUUUGGUUGAACGUACAUUUCUCAGGAGGUACAGUUGUAUUCUUCAAUCAAAUGCAAAACAGUGUUCAUCCAAAGCAUUGUUAGCCAAGAGAUGCACAACCAUGAAAUGCAAACAAUUUAAAACACAGAAGUUAGGGGCAGAAACCAGCAAUAUGUCAAUUCCCAAACCACGUAAAUAGCCUUCUCAUCUCGGGGGGGGGGGGGGGGUGGUGAAGCAAUCACUCAGGGCUGUAUUUUGAAAUCUUCUGGAAUAGGAAAGCAACUUAAGAAAAAAAAAAAAUACACAUCCAAAACCUGUUCUCAGAGGAGUAGCCAGUAAAUAUAUUUUUAUAUGCAGUUAACUUACUUGCCAUUAACAUUUUUUAUGUACCACAUCAAAGCAAACAUAUGGAAUUAGGUUCGCUUUCAUGUUAUAUUUAAAUAGUAUUUGCUUUAAUGGGAAUGACUUUCCUCUUACCCUGUAAGAGUUAAAGGAGUUCAUUCUUGUCACUAUUUCAACUCUUUCUUCUGUGUUGCAAACAAAAAACUCAGUGACCAAAUGAGGUUUGAUUCAGAUCACAGUAUUACAUAAAGAUGUAUUUUCAACUAACUUCAGUGUGGUAAGCCUUUGCAAAAUAAGUCUUUCUUAUUAAAUGGCUUGAUGGAAGGGGCUGUUAUGAUUUUUUUUUUCUGUGGAAAUGGGCACUGGGAGUCUAAUUAAUGGUAAGACCUAGGACUAUACUAUUGCUGGACAAGCACAAGCAUGUGUUGCUGAAACUGACUGCUUAGUUUUGCUUAAUCUGACUUAGAGGCAGCAUUGGAGGAAUAGAUUGUGUCUGAUGUAGCUCAAAUAAAAGUAUCAAGGUAAUGUCAAUUAAAACAUAGGUAGUGAGUGUGGUACCUGCACAAUUAUCAGUUAUAUAAGCUUACACUUCAUUCACAGAAACGUGUUUCUUUACUGUGGAUUGACUAGAAUACUGGCUCUGUAAUGAAGAGCUUUAAAAUAAAGUGAGCAGAAGAACUGAUGCAGUCUCCUUAAAUAUUUUUAAUAAGUAGAAAGGUAACUAUCAGAUGAAGGAUCAGUAGUAGGUGUGACAACAAGUUGUAAAGAUAAAUAAAACAAACAUUUGUAAAUGAUCCAGAUAAGGAAAGGACCAUAGCGAACAUGGCCUGCAACACAGCUCAAGGGUUUUUACCUAAGUGUGAAAAAUUGGGGUGUGAAUUACUGUACACUUGGAAACUGGGUACUGUUGCAUUCACAGAUAUGUGGUUGAGGAAGUAAUAAUAGUGGCACAGAUACUGAAGUGUUCUGUAUGUACUGUGUUAUAACAAAGAGCGUAGAUAAAACAUUUUUAUUUGAAUCAAUAUCACUUUCAGGAAAGAGAUUAUAUUGAGAUAAUGCUGAGAUAGAGAUUUUAAUGUGGAAUGUGGUUUCUUUAAAUUUCAUCAAGAGAAAAUACUAGCCAGUAUAGAUGUCUUCAGUUACAAAUUUGAGAAGAAAUGUUACCAACAGUGGUAGAACACAAUUUUCUCAGAAAUGAAAGCAACAUUUUUUCAUUGAAGAGCAUAUAAACAACAAGAAGAAAUAUUAUAUAUAUAUAUAUUUAGUGACAGAAUUUUUUUUAGGAGAGCUGUUAGAAGAAAAGAUCCUUAGCUGAUGUGGUCACACAUUAUAGUCCACCCCAUCCCAAUUAAAAAAAUACAGAAAGUCUUUGUGCCUUAACUAGAUCAUUUGAUAGUUCUGAAUAGGACUUUUAGACAUGUAGAGAACUGAAAAUUGAGUAGGCAGCAAUGAAAGUCCAUUUUAAAAGUCAGGAAGUACAGUGAAAAAGAGAGCUUCCUAAAAUGAAGCUGAGUUCUUUAUUAGCACAAUAAGAAAAAGGAGAAAGAGAAAUUAUUGUAACAAGUAGCACAUAACAUGACUGUAACAUCAAGAUUAAAGGUAGAGUUGGAGUGACCUCAUACGUAAACAAAUGCUUGAGUCAGUAUUCAGUAAAGACGAUGAGAGGAGACCUUAUAGCUCUCUACAAGUCCUUGUAAAGAAGUUGUGGUGAGAUGAAGGUCAGCUUCUUCUUCCUAGUGACAGGACAAGAGGAAAUGAUCUCAAGUUGCGCCAGGGGAGAUGCAUGUUGGAUAUUAGGAAAAAAUUCUGCUCAGAAAGAGUGGUCAAGUGUUGGAAUAGGUUGCCUAGGGAAAUGGUGGAGUCACCGUCCCUACUGUUGUUUAGGGAAAGGCUAGAUGUGGUACUUAGGGACAUGGUGUAGUGGGCAAUAUUGGUGGUAGGUAAACAGUUGGACUGGAUGAUCUUAGAGGUAUUUUCCAACCGUAAUGUUUUUCUGGCUUUGUGAUUUUAUGAGCAUGGAGCCACAGGCUAGGUGACUAAAUAACUAGAAUGACUACAUAAAACAGAAAUUAGCUUAUCCAAGAGGCAAGAAGGACUGUAAUCUUAGUAAAUGAGGACUAUUUUUUUUUGAUCCUGGGGUACUGGAUACAGAGAAAAUGUAUCAGGGAAUAUGUAUGUGAUAAUGACUGUCAAGCCAUGACUUGAGUAUCAUGGAUAACAUUGGGGGAACAAAGAGUAGCAAGUGUUUUAUAAAUAUUUAAAGAAAAAAAUAAUCCAAGGAGCUACAGAACUUUUAAUGAUGGUUCAUGAUAUACUUUGGAAGAAAAAAUUUGGAGGUAAAUAAGUGAUGAGAUAAAAAAUGAUGUGGUAGUUUAUAAGUUACUGUCUUGACAAGACAGUUGUGCUUCUUGCAGAAGAAAAUAUAGUAGAUGACAAAAAUUCAUAGAAUCACAUAAUAGCUUGAGUUGGCCUGCUUGCAAGUCAUGAGACUGCCUCUUCUUUUAUUGCUCAUCUCAACAGUGCAUGCUCCCUAGCAGUCUCGUCUUCAGCAUUAGAGUAAGGCCUUUGGUUUUGGACACUCUCAUUUAUUAGGUUUAUUAUCCUUAAUCCCAAUUAACUUAUAUUUCUGCUAUAAUAAUUAGUAAAUUAACUUUCCUCCUCAGAUCAUUGUCACUGUUUUUCUCCUUAUUUACUAUUAUUCCUUUUCCUCUUCUGC
Molecule: long non-coding RNA, 75918 nt
Filed under: Gallus gallus (chicken)
Lineage: Eukaryota; Metazoa; Chordata; Aves; Galliformes; Phasianidae
Source: RNAcentral